RNAcentral lists this long non-coding RNA (59789 nucleotides) under Citrus maxima (pomelo). Its description in RNAcentral is "long non-coding RNA (CMAX_LNC003335)". The record is from RNAcentral. Lineage: Eukaryota; Viridiplantae; Streptophyta; Magnoliopsida; Sapindales; Rutaceae.
GUAUUAAGCCAACCAAACAAAAGGCUUUUGCCAAGCACUUCGAGUUCUUGCCUGAUGUUUCAAUUUACGACAACGGUAUUAAGCCAACCAAACAAAAGUUCUUCGCCAAGGACUUCGAGCUCAUGCCUGAUGUUUCUAUUUAUGACAAUGGUGUAAAGCUAGCCAAACAAAGGUUCUCCGCCAAGGACUUCGAACUCAUACCUGAUAUUUCAAUUUAUAACAAUGGUGUAGAGCUAGCCAAACAGAAGGCAUUCGCCAAAGGCUUCGAGCUCAUGCCUGAUGUUUCAAUUUAUGACAAUGAUAUUAAACCAACGAAGAAGAGUUCAUAUGCCAAGGACUUUGAGCUGAAGGCUGAUAUUUCAAUUCAUGAACCGACCGAACAAAAAUAGGUAAUUAGCAUUACGGAUCUGCAGCCAGAUGCUACAAUUUAUCAUAAUUAAAUAGAUGAUCAUGCUUGUAAUCAGGCGCAGGAUGGAGUCUCUUACCAUAUUUAAUGUUCUAGAAGAGUAGCCACAUACGUGCAAUAACGCUUUCCUUGUUUGUGUGUGUUGUCAAAAGCGCUGUUUCUAAAGUAAUGUAAUAAGUGCUGAAAUAACCCAUGCAAUAAAAUCAUGUCAUGCGUCUUUAAUUUUUUUUUUCUCUCUCUCUUAAACAAUCUUAUGAUAGAUUAUUUACAAGUUAUAAUUUAUAAAGAGAGAAACUAUAUUAAAAUAAUGCUUUUUACAUAAAUAUUCUAUCCAUUAAUCUCGUAUAGCUAAUUAAGUUUGUUUUUUUUUUUUUUAUUUACAACGACAUCCUUAGAUGUUUAAAUUGUUUUUUUUUUAAAGGUAAAAGGGUUGGGUCAAUCAAAAUUAAUUUUUUCACCCUGAUCUCUUUGAGAUUCGAACUUAGGUGGCUAGCUAACUAAGAUUAUUUGAAACCAUUCGGUUGGGUUUCUAGGGGCCUUGGAUGUUUAAAAUUUGUAUUUUGAAUUGUUAUUCAGAUGGAACAAUAUAAUUAACUUUAAUUUCAAAGUCAAUUUGACCCUAUUUAAUUUUGAGAUGCUGUUACUUUUAAACUAGCUACUUGGGAAAAAAAAAAGUCGUAACCUUAAAAUAAAAAGUGAUACUGUGUGGAAAAUAUGAUUUUAAAUAAUAAUUUUGACAAAAUAGCAAAGAAAUAUUAUUUAAAUUAUUAUUACCAGCCAAACAAAAAUAGGUUUUUUAUUAUACAAAUGCAAGAUCAAAUCAACUUAAUUUUUGAGUUACAACAACUACUACUUACUAAACACUUUGAUGUCAAUACCAAAUAGGCCUCUUUUUUCCUCUCCCUCUCUAAUUUGUAAGACUACCCAACCAUAUAUUGUAUAAUAUUCAAUUAUUAUAUUAACUAGUUUUAUUUUCUUAUGAUCACAUGAUAUCUUUUUUUUUUCAAGAAUCUGAACAGAUAAUGGUUUUAAAGCUCAGAAGUAGAUCUGAUUCUAAAUAUUUGGAAAUUGAAAAAAAAAAAAAACUAAUUCACAUUUGCAGAAGAAGGUAUGUACUUGAUAACUUGAACGCCAUGAUGGUAUAUAAUUAAAUUUAACUAUUGUUAUAUUUUUAUUUAUUAAUCACUAAUUAUUCACGAUGAAUUUUAUUUGAAUAAGUUCAUAUCAUGAUAGAAUCUUAAUUCAAAUACAUAUGAAAAAAAAAAUCUAUGACUGCACUAAUAAGAUAUUUCAUUUAAUCAUGUGAUAUUAAAAUGAAAAUUAUGAUAGAUAAACUUAAAUUUUCCAUUUUCCCCCCUUUAUCAUCUCACAUGGGCCACUUCAAUUCGCUGAAAUCCUGAUGCUUCGGCCUCCAGAUGUAAAAGAACAUGAGUCACAUAUAGUAUUGGUAGAUGCGUGAAUGGAUCACAUCUCACUCAACCAACAAAUUGCAUGUCAUCUGGAAAAUGAUUUAAAUAAAUGAACAAAUACUCAGUCCUCUAUUUUAAGUUAAGUAUUUGUUUAUUCCUUAUAUUUUAAAAAUAUCUCAAAAUAAGUUGUAGUUAAAUAUAUUACAUUCUUAAUCUUGUUUUUGCUUUGCUUUUAUAAUAAUGCCCUUAUAAUAAUAUUCUUGACAUUAAUUAAUUUAUCUAUAAAAUUUUAAUUAGAAAAUUAACCAAUAAUUAUUUAGUAAUAAAUUAACCAAUAAAUAUUAGUACAAAAGAACUAAUAUUUUUUGUACAUGUGCGACAAUCGUGCUAAUAAUUUAUUUAUAAAUAAAAUUAAUAUUAGUCAACUUAAAGUAAUGCUUAUCAUCCUUGCAAUAAUUUUACUAAUAAUUAUUUUAUAAAAAAUUAAUUUACCAAAUUAAUCCUAAAAGUAAAAUAAUAACAUAAAAAAAAAUUACUGUAAAAAUUUUUAUGCUACUUUGAAGGCUAAUUUGAUAAAGAAUGGAACUACUAGCACUCCUUCAAAAUCUUUUUAAGACCCCUUUUUAAAUACACCCAAUCAAAUAAAUGAAAAAUUAUAUCACUUCUAAAAACAACCAUCUUUAUUCCACAAUUGUCCUUCAAUCUUAUCUCUCAUAAAAUGAUAAAAUUACAAAAAUAAAAAUCUUUUUGUGGAUACUAUUGCAAUAAUGAUCAUUAGCAUUCUUCACAAAUUUGAUUAACAAGUAUGGAAUGGUAUGUAACUUUAGAUUUCUAAAUUUUAACUUUUCUUUAUGUUUUGCAACAAAUAUACCUUCUAUUUUAAUAUAUGAUACCUAUUAAUUUAAUUUUUUUCAAAUAACAAAACUCACUUGUUCAAACAAACAAUGAGACCAAAAAAAGCAAGGGAAAAAAAGUGAACAAAUAAAAGGUAGAACUACUUGACACAUAAAAACUUUAAAAAAAAAUGAAAAAGAAGAGAUCUAGUAAAAGAAGUAUGAGUAUAAAAUAAGCCAGGCAAUGAAAGAAUCAUAGCUUUUCGACAAAUUCCAUGUCAAUGUCCUUUUGGAAUAAAUUUUUAAUGUUAUCUAUUUGAAUAAUGAUGGUGGUUGAGUUUCCACUUUCCAUUAUGCUCUCGAAUGUAAGCUUCUGAUGCGUCUUCUAAAAUAAUUCUAGAUAUUUUAUUUUAAAUUUAUUUGAAUUUGUAAGUUACCCUUUUAAUUGCGGUUAUCAUGUAAACAAUUGUUGCCAAAUCAUAAACAAAAUCCUGAGUAGGGACGAUAAUGGGACGGUUUUGAUCGAUGAUCCACUUAAUCUAAAUCUAAAUUUAUCAUAUUUGGAUCAGUAUAAAAUGAAUUUGGAGUGGGUACAUAUGAAUCUAGAUGAGUAAAUUCAAAACAAAUUUAAAGCACGUAUACAAAUCUAACUUAAAAUUCGGAUCCGUAUCCAUAUCUAAUUAGAAAUCUUUUAAUUUUAUUUUAUUUUUAAAAGUAUUAAACUAUCGAUGGUUUAAUACUUUUACAAUCAAAUUAAACUUAUACCUAGCUUACUGAAAUCAAUACCACAUUUAUGAGAUGCAAUAUAUUAUCAGUUUUAUAUGAAAUUCAAAGUAUUAUUUUUAAUUUUAUUUAAGAUGAAUUAUGUGUUUUAGUUGAUAGUAAGACGUUUUUUUCUCAAAUAUUUUUGUGCUCUUAUUAUUCUUAUGAGGCUUGAAAGUUUAAUAAGAUAAAUUUAUUAAUAUUCUAUUAUAAUAUAUAAAAUUUUAAAAUUAAAAUUGAUAAAUCCAAGAUAGAUUUGGAGCAAAUCCGAACCUUUAUUUUAAAUUUGAACUUAAAUAUACAGUAAAAAUCAUAAAUCUAUAAUGAAUUUAGAGUAAAUACAAAUCUCAAUUUUUAUUAUUAAUCAAGAAUUAGAACAGAAUAGAUCCAGCUGAUAUAUAUGUCCCAUUGUCAUCCCUGUGACUGAUGAAAAGAUAUAGGAAAAUAAACAGGAGUUUAAUAAGCUAGACAAUAAAAGAAUCAUAUAUAGCAAUGAUUGAUUCUUUCUUCCUAUCCUUAUGAAAUCUUUCUCAAUGUCUUUUCUACGAAAUCUUUUUUAAUGUCCUUUUCGAAAAUAUCACCCUUCAGCCAAUGACUUUGAGCUGAAGGCUGGUAUUUCAAUUCAUGAACCAACCGAACAAAAAUCGUUUGUCAACAAUAUGGAUCAGCAGCCAGAAGCUACAAUUUAUCAUUAUUAAAUAGGUGAUCAUGCUUGCAACCAGGCGCAGGACAGAGUCUCUGACCAUAUUUAAAUGUUGUAGAAGCGUAGCCAUAUAUAUGAAACGUUUCACUUUGUUUUCGUAUGUUAUCAAAGGCUCAGUUUUAAAAGUAAUAUUGUAAUAAGUAUUGAAGUGUCCCAUGCAAUAAAAUCGAAGUGUCCCAUGCAACAAAAUCAUGUCAUGCGUCUUAAAUUUAUUUUGCCCUCUUAUUUAUCCUAGAUGGUAAAUACUGUUAUGAUAGAUUAUUCAAAAGGUUAUAAGGGGAGAAGAUAAGUUUAUUUUUUUUUGGGGAAAAACAUUUCCUUGCUGAAAAAAGCAAAAAUUUACAUAAGUACUGCAAUGUCUGUGGGCGGCUCUUCCAACUGAAUAAGAUCGUUAAUCAAAGAGAGUGCUAAUUUUGCUAACUGAUAAGAAACUGUAUUACAAUUUCUAAUUUCUGAAAUGAUCCAUUCAAUCUCCUUUCUACUUGAUAAAACGCCCGUAAUUAGAUGGACAAGAUUUACUGAAUCAAAUUCCACAAUAAAAAGAGUUAAGCAUAAAUCUAUCGCCGGCUUGAUGCCUUCUAGGAUAGCUUCAGCCUCUGCAAACUCGAUGUCGCUAAGAAAAGAUUUCUUGUGGCUGAGCCAGCUAUAAAAUCUCCCUUGAAAUUUCCUAUAAUUGCACCCAAACCUGUAAUUCCAUUGGAGAUGUCAAUCGGUGCAUCAACGUUCAAGUUGUACCAAUGAUUAUCCGGUGGAAUCCAACUAACACCCUUCUUGGUUGGAGGGACUAGAAACUCUUGAAUUGGAGAGCCUUGAGCAGCAGUGUACGAAUUCAAAACAGCUUCAGCCUUGCAAAGAACACUCUUUGGGUCCAUCUUUUGAUUCUGAUAGAGCGCUAUGUUCCUAGAAUGCCAAAUAGACCAUGUAAUCAUCCCAAACGAUGGGUAGUCCUCUUUUGACAGCCAAGAUUCCAAAUUCUUUGCAAAGAGAGCAAAAUCCAUAUGAGGGUUAUUCGUUACAUAAGCAGCCAAAGUUGACAACUUCCACACCUUGAUCGCAAACUUAUAGCCAACUAACUCAUGAAAGGUACCCUCAAUAGCACUAAAACAUCGAUGACAAUUUGGAGAAUCCACUACUUUUCAUUUCAAAAGAUUAUUUGAUGUAGAGAGUAUAUUACGUAGAGCUCUCCAAAAAAAAGAUCGACUUUAGAUGGAAUGGAUAAAAGCCAAGCGGGAUACCCCAAUUAGCAUAGCCAAAUGAACUUAGAGGGGGAAUUAGGAUAAGUAAGACUAAGGGCCACUUGUAACCACUCUUAAAAGUUUACAAAUUUAUUUUGUACAAACUGAUUUGACAUUAACUUAUUGAUUAAAUAAAAAUACAACAACAUGUUUUUAUAUUUAAAAUAUAUAUAUUCACAUAUACGAAGGUAUAUACUUGAACAAUAUGAGUAAUACAUGUGAAUUAAAAUCAUCUCCUAAUCUAAGCUCCAUUAAUUAAUUUUAAAAAAAACUUGUCACAUGUUUUUAGUAUAGUGUAUAAUUAUUGUUAUGUUUUUAUUUAUUAAUUUCCAAUUACCUGCUAUAUAUCUUACUCAACAAUGUUUUGAUCAUGAGAGAAUUUUAAUUCAAAUACAUAUGAAAAAAAAAAGAAGAAGAAAUCUGAGACCAUACUAAUAAGAGAUUUCCUUUCAUGUGAUUUUAAGAUCAAAAUUAUGAUAGUAUGCAAACUUGGUUGCGUUUAGUAUUGUUCUUUAAACGAUGUUUUUGUAUUUAUUUUAUAAUAUAGAUAUGAUUAAUAUUUGAUGAAUUUGAAAUUUUGUUUGGUAUAUAGUAUAUAGUAUGAAUUUGACCACUAAAUACUUAAUAAUUAUAUUUAUAUACAAAAUUAAAAAAAAAUAAGGAUUUCUCUACCUUACGUUUAAUGUAAGGUACAUCCCCUUACAAAUUGAGCUAUAAGUCCCACUUGAGCCCACAGCCAAUAGAGAGGUUGUACCUUACAUUAAAUGUAAGUAGAGAUGGCCAAUGGGUCGGGCGGCACAAGGCACAGCACGUGUCCGUACAACAUGGCACGACACGAGCACGUUUCGGUAGGGCACGAAGCACGGCACGGCACGCAAAAAGGCACGUAAUAAGCACGCUUCAUUGAUAGGCUAAGCACGUAGCCCGUGGGCCAAAGUAUAUCAAAAUAAAAAAUUUUAAUGAAAAAUAAAUAUAAAAUAUCAUGAUUUUAUAAAUAUCUUGAAAUUAAAUUUUUUAAUAUAUUUUUUUAGCAUAGGUUUUUUAAAAUUAAUUUAAGUCCUAGUUUAAAUAAAUAUUCUAAUUUUUUAUGUUUAUAAUUUAUUAAAUGGAUAAAUAAAUAUCAUGAUUUUAUAAAUGAUAAAUGAAAAAUUUUACGACAUUAAUAUUUCAUUUAUGAAAUCAUAACUUAGUUAAUAGUUAAUGGAGAUAUGUUUCAUUUGUGAAUGAAAUAUUUUUCAUAUUUAUGCACAAAAAAAUAAAAUUAUGAACAAAAUAUUUUUAUGAUAAAUUAAAAAUUACAUUUUCAUUCAAUGGAGUUUAUGUGCAAUUAUAAUAUUAGUAGCUCAAAUAAAAUUAGAUGUAAUUGUUAUUCUAGAAUUGUAAUUUUAUUUUCAUUAAUUAUUACUAUGAUCUAUGAAAUUAUUAUUAUUAUUGUCGUUGUUGUUGUUGUUAUUAUUAUUAUUAUUAGGCUGGUAGGGUUAAAAAAGCACGCCAGGCACGUGGACUUUUUUAGGCAUACUGGACAUGUGGACAAAGAAAAAAGGUUGGUGGGCUUUUUUUGGGCACGGCCCACGGCACGAGUUUGGACAUGUGGACAAAAAAAAAGUUGGUAUGGGUUUUUUUUAGCACGAACCACGGCACGGUACGGCACGAGUGGGCUCGUGCCGUGGGCCGUGCCGGCUCACGAGCCCGCGUGGGCUGACAUUUUGUGGGCCGUGCCGUGCUGGCCAUCAUUAAAUGUAAGGUAACAGCUCCCAAAAAAUAAAUGAAAGAGAGAGGCAACAUAGCAUAAUACGGGGCCGGACCCACAUCUUCAUAAAACUAUGUCAUAAAAGCAGUGGUAGUUCCUAUGAACAAAGUGAAGAAUAAAGAUUUGAUGCUGUCUAAUUAUCUUCGUUAACAUUGUAAAAUAGAUAUGGUUUGCUUUCAUAAUAAUAAAAAAUGUUACUGUUACUGAGGCUUAUCAAACAUUUUUUUUCUAUUCUUAUAAAAUAGAAAAUGAGUGAUGAAAAACAAUACCAUACAGCCCAAAUUUUUUUCCAUUUUUACCCCUUUAAUCAUAGCCUAUCGGCCUCUCCAAUUAGUUGAAAUCUUGAUGAUUCGACCACAAGUUGUAAGAGAAAUUCUAGAAUAUAUCUAUUGUAUUAUAACUAAUUAAUGCAUGCACGACAUGCGUAAUUGAGUUUAAUACAACCACCACUUGCAUGAUAGUUUACAAAAUAAAUGCACACAUGUCAUGAUAUUAUUUGCUUGUUGUAUGGGUGACAUAGUACAACAGAUGUAUUCUAGAAUUUCUCCAAGUUGUAAAAUACCAUUUGAGUCACAUAUAUUAUUGGUAGAUGAGUAGAUCGCAUCUCCCUCAACCAACGAAUUGCAUGUCAAUGUGAAAAUUGAUUUAACUGUUUAGUCUGUUUUUCAAUGAGACGUAUUUCGUUCAAACUUUUACCUUCAAUCAAUGGGACCGAAGAAAGUAGGAAAAAAAAAAUUAAACAAAUAAAAGGUAGAACUAGUUGACAGACAAAAUUUUAUCAACAUUUUGAAACAACCAACAUUAAAAAGAAAUAAAAAAAUAAAAGAAGAGAUCUAGUAAAAGAAACAUGAGUUUAAUAAUUAAGCUAGAAAAGGAAAGAAUCUUAGUAAGCUUUUCAACAAGAUCCUUUUCAAUGUCCUUUUCGACAAAAUCUUUAUUGUCAAUAUAUUGAAAAAUGAUGGUGGUUGAGUUGUCACUAUGUAUCUCGAAUUUAAGCUUCUGAUACGGUCUUUUAAAAAUAAUUCUGGAUAUUUUAUUUUAAAUGGUAACUUUUAAUAGUGGUUAACUUGUAAACAAUUGUUGCCAAAUCAUAAACAAAAUCUUAUUGUCUCACGGAAAGAUACUGGAAAAUAAUCAUGAGUUUAAUAAGCUAGACAAUGAAAGAAUAAUAUAUACAUGUUAUAUAGUAACGAUUGAUUAUUUCUUCUUACCGCUAAGAAAUCUUUUUCUAUGCCUUUUUCGACAAAAUCUUUAAUGUUAUAUAUUGAAUAAUGAUGGUGAUUAAGUUUCCAUUAUGCAUCUCUCAUGUAAGCCUCAGUCCCUAGAAUUAACUAGCUCUCAGGAUUCCUGCAUCAGUUAACUACAGCUUCCAGGUUUAUCAAUAAUUAUGGUACACCAUCCUCCAAUAUCUGUGCAUAUAUAAUUUUUUAAACAGGAAUUUUGGAGUUUGGAUCAUAUUAAAAUAAAGGAUAAAUUAAAAAAUAAGACAAACACAUACUCUAACAUAUUUUAUUUUAUCAUGUAAUAUAUUGAAUUUCAUAUUUUUCUGUCUUUUUAGCUUGUUAUAACGAUCCUUUAUAAGAAAUUAAAUGUAUCUUGAUUCUCUCCCACACUAACUUUAGAAGAGAAAAUUAUUUAAUUUGCUUUAUUCUUUUACUACUACUGCGUCAAAAUAACCAACAAUUGACGACAACAAUUAUUGAAUAUGUAACAAAUUUACAUACAUUUUGACGACAUCUUUACUUGUUUGUGUUGGCAUCCUUAUUGGCAAAUUACAACAUCGUUCAGUCUUCUUAUAAUUAAGCAAUUGUCUAUGUAACAUAAAUUAUGUAUUAAGAACAUCAAUAUGGCGUGGAGCAUUGCGCAUAGAAGAGAAGAAGUAAAGUCUUAGGCGUCUACUCCAUGUGGGAAACAUGGGAUUAUCACAAAGAGAGAUUUAAAGAUUAUAACAAAAGAGAGAUUUUAACUAACUUGUUAUGGAGGGAUGAGAUAACGAUCAAGUUGGCAUAAUCUGUAGAGAUAACGACGAGUUUGGAAUAAUCAUGUGGUGAUAAUAUUAUGAUAUUCUGCCUUUUGAUCAACUGAGCACGCUCCCUCUCACAACACAACUCUCUUCAUAAGAAUUGGCCAACAUGGAUUGUCACUUUUCAUGUUAAUUUGAUAUUACCUUGAAUGGCAUAUUAAUUUGAUUUGAAAAAAUGGAACGAGAGUAGAGGAAAAAAGGAGAAUGAAAAGAAAUAAGAAAAAAAAUGAUGAAUUUCAUAUAAAAUCAAAUAAUGAAAUAAUAAAAUUGAGGUCGAUUCUCUUUUUUUUCUCUUUUUUCUCUAAUAAAAAUAUAUCAGAUUAAUGACAAAGUAUUGAUAUUUGAUCCCCUCAGUUUCUCUUAUUAUCUCCCACUUCUCUCAUUUUAAUUUGAAAAGUCAAAAAUACCUACCAAAAUAAUUUUAAGUUUUAAAUUUUACCCUUUCUUCUUUCUCUCCUCUCUCUUAUUCUCCCGACUUCCCUUCAUCUUCGUUUUCUUUAAAAAUUGAAGAUUAGUACACUUUCCUUCAUUUUUUGAUCUUUCUGUAUCGAUGAGAGCAAUAAUUGACAUCAUCAAACAAUCCUUUUCUACCCAAAUCAUGAUUAUAAACAAAAGUAAAAAAUAGCAAUAUCAUGAUAUGGAAUCUUGAUCAUAUCUCAUGAUCCCUCUUCAGCUUCUAUGUUAAUCAAAAAGAAAAAAAUAUAAUCGAUUAAAGAUUAAAUUUAAAUUUUAAAAUGUUGUCCUUUUUUUGGGGGGGGGGGGGGGGGGGGAUAAAAAAGAGUUUGAGAUCAAGAUGACAGUGUUGCAUAAAUAAUUAUUAUUAUAAUAAUUAAAGAAACGGCUUGCAUGUCCACUUAUUGCUAAGAAGAGAAGUGGUUCGCGCCGGCCAGUUCCAAGAAGACAAGUGGUGGGUGUCAGUGCAUGGUUAGUAAUUAUUGGGGACUAGAACUGAUUGCCAAGAGUGAGGGUGCAUUUAAUAUUGAGGUUGAGUAACUUUUAAGAUACUGUACUAAAGUGUUUGGUAAACACUAAUUACGGUAGCUUGGAAACUAUGGUGGUAUUUGUUUUUUAACUUAAUGACUUAAAGUGACUUAACUUAAUUAAUUAAGUUAAUUAGAGGUGUUUGUUUUUAUAACUUAAUGAGACUUUUUAGAUAAUUUUGACUUAAUAAAAUAAGCUAAUUUUUUUGGCUUUUUACUUAAUGGAGAAAUCUGAAUUAAGUUAAUUACUUGCUAAUGUCAAAAAUAUCUCUGUUUUAUAAUUUAUUUUUUAUGUCUAUCCCAAAACUCACCCAUAAAUAUUUACCCCACAUAAAAAUAUCCCUGUUUUUUCUUUCUUAUAUUAUAUACGAUAAAAUUUGAAAUUUAUGGUAUUUUAUAUAUUAAAAUUCUAAAAUAAUUAUGUAUUCACUUGAAUAUAGUUUUGCUUAUAAAUGUUAAAAUAUUAUGGUAUUUAAUAUAUUAUUUAUUUGACAUUCAAAUUUAAUAAGGCUACAAAUGUAAAAGUACAUAUUUUCAGCUUUUUAAGUUGAAAAAAACAAACAGCUUAAUACUUAUUUUCCGAGAUUCAUACGAAAAAACAAACAUAUUAUUCAGAUUCAGACAUUCAGAUCUAUUAAGAAUUCAGACUAAUUCAGGUUUAUUCAGAUUUUAGAUAAAAAAAACAAACGCCACCUAUGUUAAUAUGAUUUUUUUCUUAUAUAAUAAAAAAUUUAUUAUAUCUUUAAUAAUUUUGUCAAAAUUAUUAUUUAAAAUUUAUAUAUACUAUAUAUUAUUAAUUUUUGUUUCAUAUUUACAGUUUUUUUUCCAUAGCAGUUAUAACUUAAAAGGUAUAGCACCUCAAUUUCAAACAGGACCUGAAUCUUGUUCAACAAGCAACAGAUUUAGCACCGAUGAGAGAAGAACAAAUAUUAAUUUUAUUUUUUUUAAUGAGGGCAAUUCUGAAUAUAAUUAUAACUAGUAAAAUGGGAGCUAACGAGAUAAAUUGAGAGGUUUAAUAUCUUUACUCUUAAUGAUAAAAAUAACCACAUCGAAGUGCACUGUUAAAUAAAUAAGUGCCAUCACUAUUUAUGCAAUUUACAUGAUAUUAUGAUUAAUCUUGCAUAUGAUUAUUUAUUAAUAAAAAAUAUGUAACAUGUGCUAGCACAUACUAUUUUCCUCUAAAUUUCUUAUACCACAUUUUUUCCUAUAAAUAGAAAGAGGCACACGUCUUCCACGCAAAUCACACAAGUAAGACUUAGUAUAAUUAGAAACAUGAAUCUCAAAGCUUUCUUUGUUCUCUCCGCAGUGCUCUCUUUGCUUCUCUUGGUAUAUAUGCAUCUCUUUUUUAGGAAAAUUUAACAUAAAGGAUACCUAAUUAAGUUAGUUUUGAUGAGAUUCUCUUUAUCAUUUGUUUGAUCUAAUUUUUUUUUUUUCCUCUUGUUCAGUUUGCUAACAGAACAGAGGCCAGAAAAGAUCAGGGAGAAUAUUGGAGAGGCUUCGUCAAAGAUAGCGACGUGCCAGAAUCAAUUCAAAUUCAUGUUCGCCAGGAUCCUGUCUCAACUGCCUCUGAUGCCAAAGCCCACUGCAAAGAACCUGAAGAUUUAGAGCACAAGAGAGAAAAGACUUAUGUCAAGGAUUCUGACGCAACGAUUGAUAUCUUAGUUUAUCACAACAGUAUUAAACCAACUGAACAAAAGUUAUUUGGCAACCACUUCGAAAGCCCGGAUGCUACAAUUUACCACAAUGACAUUAAACCAACAGAACAGAAGUUAUUUGGCAACCACUUCGAGUCAAGCCCGGAUGCUACAAUUUACCACAAUGACAUUAAACCAACAGAACAGAAGUUAUUUACCAACCACUUCGAGUCAAGCCCGGAUGCUACAAUUUACCACAAUGAUAUUAAACCAACAGUACAGAAGUUAUUUGCCAACCACUUCGUGUCAAGCCCGGAUGCUACAAUUUACCACAACGAUAUUAAACCAAUUGAAAUGAUUAAAUCUUUUGUUAGCAAAUUCUUGUCAAACCCUGAUGCUACAAUUUAUCAUGAGUAACCAGACUCUGCUUUCAAUCGUGUGGAGAGAGCCCGUUAUCCAUCUGUAAUAUUUGUGCGUACGUGUGAUGCUCUCUUUCUAUAAAUAAGUUAUGAGGAGUGCGGUUGUUUAAUGCUCUAAGGCACAAGCUUUGUAAGAAAGUGUGUUUUUAUUGUAAAAUUGAAUAAAAAUUUGUGCCAAGUUAAUUAAUUAUCCCUUUUCUAGUGAUUUUUUUUUUUCUAAUGCUUUGAUUAUUUCCACAAAAUCUUUUCGUAAGGAAAGGGCCUAGCUACUUGAAUCAAUUUUCUCCAUUUCAACGUUAUUAGUAUAAUAAUAAUACAAAAAAUCAUUAAUCUCAGUAAUUGAUAAACAAUAUUCUUUGCUAUUAUAUUGAGAAUUAAUUCCUAAUCUGAGAAAAUAAAUUAACAAUUAAAAAAUAAUAAAAGAUCGUGAACUACUUAGAUUUAUGGCCCUCUCACAUGUCGAUGGUACUUUACAUAAUUAGAAGCCUUUUUAUUAAUUUUAACAGACACCAUUCAAUCAACUUUGGUGACAUACUGAUAAUUGAUGCAAAAUUCUAUUUGGGGAAAAAAAAGUAAAAGAAAGAACUCCUAUUUUAGCUCUUAAAUCUUAAUUUUUCAAAUUUUAGAAGGAUUAAUGAUCAACAUUAUUUAGCCUAUUUUAUUUAAUUUAUAACUAUAGAAAUCCUAAAGCUGAUGGAGUAUACUUAAUACCUUAUUUUCCCCAAUCACAACCGUCUAAAUUCCUGAAACAUUUCAUUUCUUAAAUUUCAACGGUACAGAUUAAUUCUCUUACGAAAACUCAGCGACUUAUCCUGGACCGCCGCUACUAAAAUACAUAAGAGUAAAAUACUAUAGUAUUCCGGGACAAAUUUAUUUCUUCCACGACGCAAUAAAAUGCUGCGUCCAAUAACAUUCUGUUUCCUAAAGCUUACCCAAAUCGCAGAUAGGAACAUGGUUUGCAAUAAUUUUUCUAACAGAUCCUGCCAUCAAAUUCGUUAAAAACUGGUUUAAUUUUUAUUAAAUAAUUUUAAGUAAAUUGAAUAAGAUAAAAAAUUUAAAAAGUUAUUAUUUUAUAAUGAAAAAGCUAGAUCAUCCAUACGUAAUAAAAAAUAGUACGCAUUCACAACUUAAUGCAAUAUAAUCUAGACAACCAAAUAUAUUUUAUGUAUUUUUUACAAAUUGCUUUUAGUAUAAGCAAAUAAGGUGGUUGUCUAAACAUUCAUAUUUUUGGAAGGUCUCAAUUUUUAAUAUUUUCUUAAUAAUUUUCUAAUUAAUAAAGAUAUUUUUUUAACUUAUGUAUUGUAGAAAAACCUAUUAGACAUUUUUAUUAUUAACAACUAUACUACAAUUAAGAGUCUUUUUUGUAUAGAAAAUCAAUAUUUGUAACCUUAUUGAUAAAGAGAAAUGAUUAAUAAUAUUUUUAACCAUUAAUUCAUUCAUUAUUAGUUUUCUCAAGAAAAAAAGUUAAAUUCUUUACCUUUUCAUUUUCCUAAAAAAAACUUGAUUAUUUAACAUUGAAAUCUUUGACUUUUAUUAUUCCUUUAGUUUCUAUUAGAACCUUAUAAUAUAAAAAAUCAAUAGAUAAAAAAAAUUUGUUCCUCCUUUCUUUACGAAGAAAAUUAUUAUAUUUAUUGGUUAAUUUAAAAAAGAAAAAUUAGUUUCUUGAAGUAUGAAGACCAUAUCUAUUAUCUGAUAAUCAAUUCAUGAUCUCGACUUUCUAGCUAUAUUCUGUCAUUCUAAAUAUUUUAUUUGAAAAUAAUAUUGUUUUUAUUUAUUUGUUUGUUUGCUUUUUAAGAGUUCUGAUGGAAGUAAAAAAAACAAAUCUUUUUUACUAAUUUUUUAGGUUUUUUUUAAAAGAUUUUUUAAGAUAUUUUUUUAUUACUGUUAAAAUUUAAGAAUUAAAGAUAGAAUGAAUUUUUGAGUCUUUUCAUAUUUCUUUGAGUAUUGAAAUUACAAAAUAAAAUAUGGCCUUACAAAAAAAAAAUUCGCCUAAGACCCCAUAUACUCUAAUGCCGACUCUGGGUGAAAUUAUUGAUUUUAUUAAUAAUAAUAUGAUGUAUACUAACCAAUGUACAAAACAGUAGUGGGUGACAUAAAUUAGAAUUGUGUUGCAAAAACAAGAGGUUUGAGUGAAAAAGAAUUUACAAACUCACAUUACAAUGUUAUAUAGUUGCCAUAUGUCUCACAUUUUCAAAUGAACAAAAUAUAAUAAAUACAGUAUAAUCUUUAUAACUGAAUAUUCAAUAGAUUAAUAAUCUCUACUGUGUAAUAAUUUUUUAUGGUCAUGACUUAGGCCAAUAGGUUAAAUUAAUAAUUGCAAUAAAUUAAUAAGAUGAUAUUUUUUAUGAAAACCCUUAUAUAACUAUGUGGCUCCAUUCAUAUCAAAAUUAAUAAUUUUUUAAAAUUAUAAAUAUAAUUGACAAUAAUUUUUUAUUUAUUAAAAUGUGAGUCGAUUAUUAUCUUGUUCCCUUAUUACUUCUUUUCCUUGAAAUAUAAAUCUAUUUGAAUCUCGUAUCUAAUUUUUCUUAUUACAUCUAAAAGUUUUGGGAUUGAAUUCUUGAAUUAUAAUAAAAAAAAAUUAUGAAGUGCUUUCGUACACAUAACUGGCUCCAAAGCAAUUGUAUCAUUCUCAACUUUUAUCAUCGACAUGAUUUUAAGUGAUGUCAGCAGUGGUUUAAUUUAUUCUAAACUUAAAAUCUCUCAACUUACAUCAUUUUUAUUAUGAUAAUCCAAGAGGUAAUUAAGUAGAUAAAUACAAUACAGUUAUUGUUUUGGUUUAUCUAAUAUCUAUUUAGUAGAUUAAUUCAUAUUCAAUAAAUUAGAUUAGUAAAAUAUAACGAAAUUUUAGUUAAUUAAAUGUACGUUUAUUGAACUAUAAAUGAACUCUAGAAAUUAAUAAAUUAUUAAUUUACUAAUUACAUAAUAAUUCUUUUAAUUAAUAAAAUUUAAAUAGUCCCAAUGUUAUUAAUUCAUAGAAGUUAUAUGAAAUAUGUGUCAACUAUAUAAUAUCGUAGUUUGUAAACAAAACAUAACUCUUUUGUUAAUUGAAUACUAACGUAAUGCUAUAGAAAUAACAUAUGUGACCAAUUUGCAUAAAUGUAUACUCUCUGUAUCUUAUUACAAAUGCUUUAUAAAUCAGUGACUCAGAUGUUAUUAUCUAAACUCGUGGAAGCAUUACUUUUGUCCCUGCCAAUAUCAUUCAGAUAAAUAGUUGUUGUGCGUUCAGAUUCACCAGGAAUGCUUACGCAAAACAUAGACUGAACCCAAGAGCUUCGAAACUCGAAACUGAACCAAAUCAUUCUAAUGGAAGAGAAACGCCGGGAAGCCAGAGCGCAACCGGCGGCUACGAGCUCGGCCGCAGCUGGAGCCGAGUCAGCGGCAUCCGAGCCGGCUUCGCUCGGCGCCGAGCCGGAGCGCACAAAAGGAAAGCCUCGGCGCUCUCAGCGACUAACGCUUCAUCCACGCCGUCGAAGCGCAUGACUCGCGAGAAGAAUUUAGUUGCUCACACUCCGAUCUACAACCAUAACGUUACAUCUUGACAUUUGUAGUAAGAACGUGAGAGGAUACCUGGAGUGUAUUGGGAUUUGGGCGGAAGAGAAAGGAGCCCUUGGAAUUGGGAAACAAAUGAAAUUAUCUGCAUGGUCCUUGUACUCGUGGAGGGACUGUAACUUCUGAACCAACAAUGCUGAAAAUGCAGGGUCAAAAAUCAACAUUAACUUGAUGAAUAAUUGUUUGAAAAAAAAAAAAAGCAAGAAAACUUGAUUAAUAUAAAAGAGAGCAAAGGAGCACAACCAUACAGAAGUUGUAUAAAGGAAUAUUAAUCAAGCUUGAUUAAUAUUCUUCUUCUAUCCAACACCACAAGAUGAAACACAGUAUUCCUGUUGCAGUAUAUGGUGAGAACUGUGAAGUGCAGGAAGUAGUUUCCUAAGAGAGAUGAUUGAAUGCUCUUAAUUUUUUUUUUCAGAAAAUCAUUUUAUUUUUAAUAAAAGUUUAAUUUUUUUUAAUAAAAAUUUUUAUUUAUUUUUUAUUAAGUUGUGUCUCAUAUUUACUAAUAAAGGAAGUUAUUUGGGUAUAUAAGUAGGAUGUCUCAUCUAACAUGCUAGUAGGAUAAAUCUCUCAUCUAAUAUGCUAGUAUUUUGGGUUAAAUACCUAUAAAUUCUAAGCCGAGUCCACAACAGUCCCCAAAAUAACUGGAUUUAAGUCCUAGCUACACCAGUAGAUUGAAUAGAAGUGCAAAUAAGUUUAACUUUUUUGUCAUUCAUUUUAGUCUUUUUUUUUUUUUUUUUUCACAUACAUUGAAAAAGGAUAACUCUGUCGUGAUUGCCAUGGCAGAGCCUAUUUCAAACGAUGGUGUAUGCUAAAGGAAAUUAUCAUGAGAUGAGUGAUAAACCAUACAAUCAGUAGCUACAGCCCACGAUUAAUCAGCCACAUGGCCACAAAUAUUAUUGGCGGCAAAUAUAUCAACAAAAUCACAAUAAAGAUGAGCAUCCUCGAUUCCAUUCCUUAAUGUAAAUAGGACAGCCUGUCUAGCCAUUACUUUAAGAGAUUUGGCUGGCUUUGACACUUGUAUAUAAGCUUGUAACCCUCUCAUUCUUUACAAGAAAUAAGAUAAUAUUUUCAGCUUAAUAAUUCUUUUCAGUGAGAUCAAAGAAAUGUAAAGAGAUAUAGUCACUACUACAAAAAUGUAAAACAAUGACCCAUAUGUUAUGACGGUUCUUCUAAACAACCGUCAUUAAAGAUAUUUAAUGACGGUUAUUAUGUGAACAGUCAUAAUAUAUACCACUUAUAAUGACGGUUAUGUAAUAAAACCGUCAUUAAAUGUCAAAUAAAAUUUACACUUAGUUUUAAUGACGGUUCAUUUAUAAAAACCGUCAUUAAAAGUCACUAUUUUUAAUGACGGUUCUUAUAUACAACGGUCAUUAUAUGUGUAGUUAAAAAUAAUAUUACUUUUAAUGACGGUUUUUUAAUAACCGUCAUUAAAAAUAAUAAUUUUUAAUCACGGUUUUUACAUAUAACGGUCAUUAUAUGUGUAAUUAAAAUAGUACUACCUUUAAUGACGGUUUUAAAAAAACCGUCAUUAAUAAUUUUUAAUGACGAUUUUUACAUUAAACGGUCAUUAUAUGUGUAAUUAAAAUAAUACUACCUUUAAUGACGGUUUUGUUAAGAACCGUCAUUAAAAAUAAAUUUAUUUUUAAUGACGGUUCUUAACAAAACCGUCAUUAAAAAUCAUACUUUUUAAUGACCGUUAUAUAUUAUAACGGUCAUUAUAUAUAUAAUUAAAAUGCUUUUAAUUUUAAUGACGGUUCUUUAAGAACCGUCAUUAAAAAUUGACAUUUUUAGUGACAGUUGUAUAAAACAACCGUCAUCGUAUAUAUUGAUAUAGUUAUAAAAAAAAAAAAAAAAUUGGCCUUAUACUGAACACCAAAUCCCUAAAAUUACAGAUAAUUUGUAAACAUUAAAAGUAAUGGCGCAAGCACGCACGCCGCCGGUACACUUAGCCCAUGCAGCAGCAACCGAGCACGGUAGCAACAGGCCACCAGCAGUCGCUCUCUCUCUCACGCACACGCAGCAGCAAGCCAACACCAAUAGCCCCUCUUUCUCAUGCUCACUCUCUACUAUGCCCUCUUACGUACUCAAGAAAACUCUAACCCAUAUCCAAACCCUCGCCGUCGAAGAAAACCCAAUCCUUAAUGGCUUGAAAUUAAAGCCUCCACCGUCAAUCACCAUCGAACCAAAUAAACUCUAGCCUUACCAUCACUCUUCGUUUGACUCGCUGAAGAAAGCACUCUAUUAGGUGAGUCUCUGUUGUUUGAUAAUAUAUCUGCACUCUUUGUUGGCCGAAGCUUUUAGACAAUUGCUUUGAUUCAAUUGCUUCGAUUGGUUAGUUCUCUGUGAUUAAUUAGUUAGUUACUUUUAAUUUCAUAUUUUCAUCUCUAACAGUGAAUUUGGGAGUCGAUUUCUCUGUCGGAUUUGUAAUUUUUGCUACAGAUCAAAAACAUCUUGAAGGUGUUUUCAUAUCUAACAACUUGAACUAUCAUUUAUUUUGUCUUGUUAAUGUUCAAUUUUUUUUUCUUUUUUUAUUAGUAUGACAAUUAGUCGAAUGUGCUUGCACAUAAAACAAUCUUUUAACUUGGCGUUGGAAUAUUUGUUUUGAGUUGUGUCCCCUUAAUCAAUGACCAUACAAAAGUUCCCCAUGAUAAAGUGUUUAGCCCUAUUAAUGCCAUAAAGUCUUGCUCUCAAUUUUUCUGAUUAUGCCUAUGGAUUGAUUACCUAUUUCAUUUACAAAUUCAAUUGGCAAAUGUACAAUGCCUGCAUGACACUCACAUUUGGGUUAUGAUGGUAGUCAUUAUGAGGAAGAAUGUUAGAAUAACAUCAGGGGAAACAUCUGGGAGAAGGUAUGUACUGUCAAGCUCUUUGUUAGAAUCAUCACGAAAUUUAUAUUGGAUCUUGGCUGUUCUAUGUGAUGCAUUUUGGAUUUGCUCUUACUAGACAUGCAAAAACCUGUAAAAUGUAUUUUUUUUUUCCAUUUUAGAUUUACUAUCUAGUAUCUUGUAGGUUUAAUCUAAAAUAGAAACCAUUGAGGAUACUGGACACAAUUCUAAUGAAGAGAAAAGAUGUUAGACUUUAGUAUUCAACCUUUUUUUUUUAGCCAUAUUUCUAGACCCCAAGUUUAUGUCAUGAUAAUUGUGUGAUUGAUAAGAUAUUUUGGUUUUGGACUUUAUCUCAUGGAUUUAGAGUUCGAUUAUAUUUGGAAGUGGAAUAAUGCAUUCAUUUACAUAUGAUGUUUGAUGAAGUUCCCAUAAAAUUAAUUCAAUUAUAUAUGUUUAUGGUUCUAAGGAAGCGGGGCAAAAAUUUUAUCAGUGGGUUGAUUUCACUAGUUUAAGUUAGUAAAGCAAAGAAAUUGUCUUUAUGCACUUUAACUUUCCUCCAUUUAAGGUGAAAAAAUUAUUGAAGCUUUUAGAAGUGAAUUGUUCAUUUUGUUUGUGCACUUAUGCAGAUGGAUUUACUUUUGGCUGCUUAACCCUUCCUCACUUAUAUUUUUUCAGUUUAAAUUGCAGUGUUUUGCUGCUGUGCAACAGCACAAGAGGCUGUUUUAUUGUUGUUUCUGUAAAAACACAGCACCAGGAAGCGUCCAGGUAAUGUUUCGCUGCUGUUAUGCAGUAAAAACAACACCUGAAAGUUUCUAGGUGCUAUUUUUACUGCUGUUUACGCAGAAACACAGCACCUAAAAGUGUCUCUAGGUUCUGUUUAGCUGCUAUUAUGCAGCAAAAACAGCACCUGGAAACUUCCAAGUGCUGUUUUUAUUGCAUUUUAUGCAGAAACAAAGCACCUAGAAGCAUUCAAGGGUUGCUUUACUGUUGUUUUGUAUUUAAAAUUGCUGUUAGAAAUUUUGGGUGCUAUUUCUCUGAAAUUUUGCUAUUAACAGUGCAGCUUAAUAAUUUCAUAUGUCGUUUUGAACCUUCUUCAGUUCUUUUCUCUUAUGUCUAUACUUAAUCUUUUCCCCCCUGGUAAUAAGCAGGUACAAUUUUUGCAAGGUAAUAUCUAAGCAUGCUGUUAAUUCUUUGGUUGAGACGUAGUAUUCUAAACUUCAGGCCUUAAUUUUUUUAUUUCCAAGUGUAUAAUGGGUAGGUACUGGAUCUCUUAUGGAUGAUGUAGUUAAUGCUUUUUUAUUGUCUCUAUUUUGGCAAAUGUGUUGUCAUUUAUUAUCUGAACACAUGGUUGAUUAACUUACUUGAGGUAAGUCUAUUAAUUAAUAGUGAUAUGAUACUUUAAAGUCUUGUUUUACAACUUAAGUCACUAAAAUGAUUUAAUAUUUAUGAUUUAUAAUAUAUGAAUAUAUCUUAAUUUCUCUUUAUUCUUUGUAAGAAUGAUGUAGAUUGCUGAAGCUGGUGAGAUUCAUUUGCAAUUGAAGACUUGAUGAGAAAUUAGAUGUACUCACACAUGCCAAUCUUGUUGGUUGCUAGUGCAUUCACUAGUAGAAGUUUAAUGAUUGUUGGAGAUUUUUGUAGAGCUAUCUCUUUGUAAAUGAAACAUUUGCAUCAUUUUGAAUAUGAAACAUUUGUGAAAAAUAAUUGUAAAGAAUUUAAUAUGAAAUUAGAAUUAAAAUAGGGGCUUGAAAUAGCCUUAAAUUUGCCAAAUUUAUUUUUUUAAUAAUAAAUAACAAAGAUGACGGUUAUUUCAAAAGAACCGUCAUCAAAUGUAGUGUUCUAUAACAAAUAUGACGGUUUUCUUCUAAAACCGUCAUUAAAUGUUGUUUCAAUAUUUAAUGACGGUUCUUACAAUAAACCGUCAUUAAAAUGACACAUUUAAUGACGAUUAUUUAGAUAAACCGUCAUUAAAGAUAGAUAUUUAAUGACGGUUCUUACAAUAAACCGUCAUUAAAAUGACACAUUUAAUGACGGUUAUUUAAAUAACCGUAAUUAAAAAUAUACAUUUAAUGACGGUUAGUGAACCGUCAUAAAAAACAUACCCUCUUUAAUGUCGGUGCCUAAGAUGACGGUUUUAAAACCGUCAUCUUAUGUCGUUUAAAACCGUCAUAAAAGACCAAUUUUGUAGUAGUGAGUCUAUUAGGUUGGCAAAUCUACUGAAACAAUAUUGUUUCCUAUCAACUCCGAAAUACAACCAAUUGAACAACGUUCAGAAAUCGAAAAUCAUUUAUUACCAGUAAGAUUUAUUAUUAUACGCUAUACAUAUGGCUUUAACAGUCACAUUACCAAUACAUUUUUAAUCAUGGUAGGUAGGUGCUGGAAUGUAUACAAUAUUAUCAGCCUGGAAGAAAUGGCAGACAUGGGAGCUCCCUGGCUCGAUCCCAAGCACACGAAACGAUGCAUGAUCUCGACUCCAAUGAGACGUAUCCAUGUGGCAAACUGCUACAGCUUCCACUCUAUCUCCAUUAUCACCACCUAAUGAAACACCGAAUAACUUGUUCUCAGUCAUUUGGCUGUGGCAGUAGAAGAUUGCAUAAGGGUAAGGCAUGAUAUGACAUGCCACCAUCUUGGGAGCAACCAUUGGUUUAGGCACUUGUAAAAUAGUGUAAUUUUGGAAAAUGGUAGCUGAUUUUGUGAGAAAUUUUGUGCUUAGAACUUCGAAUUUGGUCUCCAAUCCGAAAGUUCCGUGUACAAAAUCAAGCAUGGAUUCCAAAGAGGUAGCACAAAUUUUGGUUUCUCCUUCGAUGGGAGGAACUUCGCAAUGAUUCAGGGUCCCUUCCAUGGCUUUGGCUAGGGGUGAGUCAUCUGAGAACGAGAAGAAUUGAAGAAGGUAAGGCAGUUGUUUCAAUGAAAAUGGAAUGGAAUCUGCUUCUUCUCUAGGCAAAGCCUGAGGAUAAGCUGAAGGAUCUCUCUUGCGAAAAAUAAAUCGGCAUCGUUUCGCCAAUCUUUAGAUCCUUCAAGGUGAAGAACACCAUCGUUGAAGGGUCCAUGUGAUUCAUGUGGGAUGGUAUUGAAUGAGAAUCAUGAAGAUUCUCCGAAAGCACCUGAGCACACUGUAAAACAGUUGAGCAAUUCAAUAUGACAACAUAGAUGAAAAAUCAACAACACAAGUUCUAUAAAGUGUAAAACUGAAGGAGCAAAAUAUAUCUUUUUGAGUUAUUGCUUUAAGACAACACUUAUGUACAUCUAUUGCAAAGUAAGCACUUCCUUAGCACACAUUGAGGAUUAUUACCAGAAAGAGUAGAGAAAGAAGGAGGUUCCAAACUGAAAAUCUUAACCCCAUCUCUUUUCUAUUAUCGAAGUUUCUUAUGUAUUUUAGUAAUCUUUUUGUUUUUUUUUUUAAGGGAGAGGAAACACAGAUAACAAGUGAAGCAGAAAGAGAAGAGAUUGUGUAACUGUAUAUGUCAACAACCAAAUGAUGUGUGUUAAUUUUCAAGUGGAAAUUUAUAGCCUGCAUAAGCUGAACUUGUUCUACUGUGCUGAUUAAUUGAAUCACAACACAGUUUGAAUAAUGACCUUAAUAGUCCAAUCCAGCAAAGAAUUCAGCACUCCAAUCAUUUGGGGACACACGUAUUGCACCUUCAUCAGGUCUGCGGAUUUUAAUAGUUUUGACUGAGUGAAUGAUUACUUCAAUUGAUAACAUUGCAUAUUAGAUUACCAGACCUAAAAUUGAUUUCUUAUUAAAAAAUUUACUUGCAAUUUGGAAACUCUCUUUGACACAUUAAUUACAGACUCGAAAUCUGUAUCAAUAUUCCCCAUACAUAGACAGAACUGAGCAUAAAAAGUGGGAAGGCAGAUCGUAAACAAAUUCGACAUGGUAGUUUCCAAGGAUGAAUAGCAUUUUUUUCAUUCAAAAAUGGGAUAAUAUAUCCUUCAGUCACGUAAUGUACACUAAGGCGGCGUUUGGUUGGGAGGAGAGAACAAAGAAGAGGAAAGUAAUUUAAAUUUUCUUUUUAUUUUCAUUGUUUGGUUUGAUAAAAUAUAUAAGAAUUUAAUUUCCAUUAGAAUUUAAUAUCCAUCAUAAUUUGAAUUCCACACCAAGUAGUGAAGAAUUUAAAUUCCUCUUAUGUUAGAAACUAAAGUUUCCAAAAUUACCCUUCAACUUGUUUAAUGUCAUUAAUAAUUAUUAUUUAAUAUUAUAAAUGGAUCACCGCCGGAAAGUCGCCGGACUACCGCCGGAAAGUCACUGGAAAGUUACCGGGCCACCUCGGAAUGUUGCCGGAAAGUCACCAGACCACUGCCGAAAGUUGCCGGACGUCGCCAAAAUCCUGCCGAACGUUGCCAUAAGGUAGUUUCCAAGGAUGAAUAGCAUUUUUUUUUCAUUCGAGAAUGGGAUAAUUUAUCCUUCAGUCACGUAAUGUACACUAAAGCUCUUCUCAACCUAGUGUGCGUCGGAUAUGUGAGCGUCGGGGCUCCAAUCUCCCGUACAAUCUUUAAAAUUUUGUUUGGUCAAAUUAACAGGCUGCACUCACUGUAUUUCCAUGGAUCACACUACUUCAACUAAAAGAUAAGAUAAUAAGUAUCUUUAGGAUUUUACUGAAUGAUUUUUAAGUAGUUUUUAUUAAUUAAUUAUUCAAAUUCGAAUUAAAAAAAGACUAAAAAAUUCAUCUGAAUUUUUCUCACUCCCAAUCUUUAAAAAUAAAACAAAUAAUAAGUCAUAUAAACAAUAUUUUAAAUGCAAUUUUCACUUCAAACAUAUUUCAUUUGAAGUUUAAUUAUAUUCUCCGAUGGAACCUGGAUAAGUUGAAAAAAAAUUUAUUAAUAAAAAAAAUGUACAUCUAAUUGUCUAACGAUGGGUCAAGAACAAAAGGUUAAAAGAUAAUAUACGUGGACAUGAUAAUGCAGAAACCGAAAAUCAAAAGGGCACGAGUUUCAAAUGCUAGACAAAUGAAAGAGACGUGUGAUUGCAGGUCGAUUUUCUUCUCAUCACUAGCCACUAGUGUUGUGCGCGGAAUGCGGAAUCAAGCGCACCAAAUAAUUAUUGAAAAAUAAAGGACACAAGAAUUUACGUGGUUCGGUAAUUAAACCUACAUCCACGGAGACAAGAAAGAAUAAUUGUUUAUUUAACAAUUAAUAGAAUACAAUAUUUGAGUAACGAAUCUCACUUCCCAGAAAACCCAAAUAUACCCAGUACUCUCACACUCUGCAAGAAAGAUAAAUUCCCCAGACACACUUCUCUCACUUCUCUCAAAAGCUUAGAAACUUAUAAGCUUGACAAUUUUGGGAUGAUUUCAAAUGAAUGAAAUCCUUAGCUAUUUAUAGACUUGAAGCUAGUAUUAUUCCACCUAACCCAAGUACUAUUUCACCUAACCCAAGCACUAUUCCACCUAACCCAUGCAAAUAUGUCAAUGGUGUCCAUUUGGCAAAUUUGACAAAUUUGCCAACUUUCCAUUUUUUCUUCAAAUGUUUGGUAGCUCUUUGAAAAAUUGCCACAUGCAUGACUUUUCAACAAUUCUCCACCUCGGCGAAAAUUUGUCCAAAUCUGAGCCGACUACCAACGAACCCUCAUCCCCAAAGUGAUCCUUCAAUAAGGAUCCAGAAUGACUGUGUCGAUUCGACUGUCUACGUACCCAAAAUUUGGGAUCAAGCCAACCGUAGUUCAAAAAUUCUCCAAACUCAACGCAUUCGAAGAAUUAGUUUCAAUCCGUAUAAAGAUUUACUCAAUCUGCACACACGAUUUUCCUUUCCAGCAACUCUGAAACCACAAGGCUGAAUCAUAUAGAUUUUCUCCUCUAAAUCUCCAUGUAAGAACGCCGUCUUAACAUCCAACUGAGCUAACUCUAACUCAUAUUCUGCAACUAAGGCAAGUAGGAUACGAAUGGAAGUAUGUUUUACAAUUGGAGAGAAAACUUCAUUGUAGUCCAUACCUUCCUUUUGAGCAAAACCUUUUGCCACGAGCCUUGCCUUGUAUCGAGGAGUUGUUUGAUUCGGAGAUCCUUGCUUUUUGGUGUAGACCCAUUUAUUGCCAAUAGCCCUUUUCCCCUUUGGUAACUUUACAAGUUCCCAAGUCUGGUUUUGAUGGAGAGAUUUCAUCUCUUCCUCCAUGGCUAGCUUCCACUGAUCACUUUCAUUGCUGCGUAAUGCUUCACCGAAAGUAUUGGGGAUGUCAUCAUCAAUAACUGAAAGUGCAUAGGCUACCACCAUAUCUUUAGUAAGCCAUCCGGGUUUUUUUAUCUCUCUUUUUGGCCUCCUUGUUGCUAUAAAAUCAUCAUCAUCUACAUCAUCAAUUGUUUUUUCAUUUUGUGGGACAUCAGAAGAAACAACCUCUUCUUCAACUUUAGGUGUCACCUCCAUAGUUGAACCAUUCUUUGAUGUAGAACUAACUUGUACAUAUGGAGUUGCAUCAAACUCCACCCGCUGCAAUACCUCUGUGGUCUUGUUCUCCACCUGCUGAGAACUUGAAGCUUUUAUCAUUGAAGCUUCAUCAAAUGUGACAUCUCCGCUACACACAAACUUUUUGUCUUCGAGAUCCCAAAGCUUGAAGCCCUUUACUCCACCUUUGAAUCCCACAAAGAUAGAUUUUUUAGCACGAGGAUCCAGUUUACCAUCUUUGACAUGAUAAUAAGCUGGACACCCGAAUACACGAAGGGAAUCAUAGUCUUGUGCAUGCUUUCCAGACCCCAUUUCCAUAUGAGUUUUACCUCCAAUUGCAGCAGAAGGCAACCGAUUUACCAAGUGACUUGCGUAGCUCACAGUUUCAGCCCAAAACUUUUUAUCUAAACCAGCAUUAGAUAACAUACAUCGUACCUUCUCCAGUAAAGUACGAUUCAUACGCUCAGCCACACCGUUCUGUUGCGGAGUAUGUCUCACCGUGAAAUGUCUUUUAAUACCCUCGUUCUGGCAUACUUGCAAGAAUGGAUCAGAAGUAUAUUCACCCCCAUUAUCAGAUCGUAAUACUUUGAUCUUUCUGCCAGUUUGAGUCUCCACCAAUUUCUUCCACUUCACGAAAAUCUUUAGAACCUCAUCCUUUGCUCGCAUGGUGUACACCCAUACACGUCUAGAGAAAUCAUCAACAAAUAUAACAAAAUAAUGGCUUCCACCAAUUGAUGCAGUCUUGGUUGGUCCCCAUACAUCACUAUGAACAUAUUCAAGGAUCUCACGAGUAUCGUGAUUAGCUGUACCAAACUUGACCCUUGUUUUCUUGCCUACUACACAAUGCUCACAGAAAUUUAAUUUACAGGUUUUGGUACCUUUUAAGAGUCCAUGCCUCAUCAGAGUUUGCAAAGACUUCUCUCCUGCAUGUCCCAGUCGUACAUGCCAUAGCUUGGUGGUGUCACUGUGCGCCUCAACAACAUUUGCUUCAUCAGUUGUACCUCUCUUCAAAUAGUACAAAUUGUGACGCCGAACCCCUUGCAGAAUCAUCAUAGCCCCAUGUGUAAACUUCAUUGUGCCAUCUUCAAUGGUAACUUUGUAACCUUUAGCUUCCAAAGCACCCACAGAAAUUAGAUUUUUCUUUAUCUCUGGAACAAAUCUAACCUAUUUGAGUUCUCUGACCAUUCCAUCAAACAUUUUGAGCCGAAUUGUUUCUAUCCCCAUUGUGCGACAAGGUUGAUUAUUCCCCAUCAUAACUGCACCGGAUUCCAGAUUACGAAAAUCCGUAAACCAUUCCUUAAUAGGACACAAAUGAUAGGUUGCUCCAGUAUCAAGUGUCCACUCACUCGAACUAGCCACGUAUGCUGCAGGAGUAAUACUUAGUGAAUAAUCAGAGUUCUCAUCUUUCCGUGCCAUGUUUACUGCUGCUGGUUUCUUCCCAUCUCUCUUUUGAGCCUUUGGACAAUCUUUUCUCCAAUGACCCUUUUCAUGAAAAAAGGCACACUCAUCUCGAGCUAUAUUUCUGCUUCUUGAUUUGGAUCAAGAAUUCAUUCCACCACGGUUCUUCUGUUUCUCCAUCGCCCAAUCUCUGCUCACCAAAGCUUCAGACGAUGCUCGUUCAGAAUUUUUAUCAUUAUUCUGAAUCUCCAAACUAGUCAAUGCUGUGCAAACAUCUUUAAAGACGAUCACACUCUUCCCAUAUAUCAAAGUAGUCACAAAAUGGCUAUAUUCCUCUGGUAGUGAGUGUAACAGAAUCAUAGCCUUAACUUCAUCUUUAAUAUCUUCAUCAAGAUUCUUCAAAUCAGCAAGUAACUUUUCAAAUCUUGAAACAUGAUCGUGCAUUGACACCCCAGGCUUCAUUCGAAAACCAUAUACUUGGCUCAUUACAUGAAGGCGAUUUUCAGGACUUUUCACCAGGUACUUCUCCUCCAAUGUACGCCACAAAGUCACCGCACACUCCUCAUCUUUCACCAAGUAUUUCACCUCCUUGGUCAAACAAGAUCUGAUAUGACCACAAGUUUUUUCGUUCAUACGAUCCCAAAUUUCUUCAUCAUACAAGUGCCUUUUAUUUUUUAGAACAACAUCGAGAUCGAUUUGAAUAAGGGCAUCCAUAACUUCGCGCCUCCACAUGCCGAAGUUGAUUUUCCCAUCAAACUUUUCAACAUCGAUCUUUUGGCCUCCUAUAACAUGUGCUGAAUAGCGAUUUGAUAAAUCUCGCCUCCCACCUGAAGUGUCUCCUGAAAUAGUCUCGGUAGAUAUCUCCCUAAUUCUGGAAGUUUCACCUUCUACCAUUUUCUCAACGAACUAUUUCCACUUAAAAAACAGUCUCUAUGAUGUUAAUUUCGCGUGAAUAAAUGCACCAGGAAAGUUCCCAGGAAACUGGACGGGAACUCGGUCCCAAUUAAAAACCAGAAUCCUUAGACUCUUAUCGCCUUUUUUGACAGAACUUUCCUAGACAUGCAAAAAUACACACUACUUACAAUAGACUGUCUCCCAAGUACAAAUGGCCGUCUCCACCGUAUUCGUAAAUAGUGCCGUAUAUGUGAACAGUACCGUAUACGUGAACAAUACCGUAUACGUGAACAGUACUGUAUCCCCCCAAGUACGAACCGUCGGCUCUGAUACCACUUGUUGUGCGCGGAAUGCGGAAUCAAGCGCACCAAAUAAUUACUGAAAAAUAAAGGACACAAGAAUUUACGUGGUUCGGUAAUUAAACCUACAUCCACGGAGGCAAGAAAGAAUAAUUGUUUAUUUAACAAUUAAUAGAAUACAAUAUUUGAGUAACGAAUCUCACUUCCCAGAAAACCCAAAUAUAUCCAGUACUCUCACACUCUGCAGGAAAGAUAAAUUCCCCAGACACACUUCUCUCAAAAGCUUAGAAACUUAUAAGCUUAACAAUUUUGGGAUGAUUUCAAAUGAAUGAAAUCCUUAGCUAUUUAUAGACUUGAAGCUAGUACUAUUCCACCUAACCCAAGUACUAUUUCACCUAACCCAAGCAUUAUUCCACCUAACCCAUGCAAAUAUGUCAAUGGUGUCCAUUUGGUAAAUUUAACAAAUUUACCAACUUUCCAUUUUUUCUUCAAAUGUUUGAUAGCUCUUUGAAAAAUUGCCACAUGCAUGACUUUUCAACAACUAGCACACAUCCCCUUAAUCAAAAUCUUUUUCAAUAUUGUUUAUUAUAUAAAUGGAUAUUGGUAGUGGUUGAACUUCUAUUAUUUAAUUAUGUUGUCAUUUUCCAUCACUACAACAACAGAUGAUUCAAGUAGGAUCGAUCAAUAAUUGUCGCCCAAUGUUUUGUCUUUUUCAUAAUUUAGUUAUUUUUGUUCAUAUGUCUGACGAAGAAGUUUUAAUUUUGCAAGAGGAAUUCAAGUUGAUAAGACCUUGUCGACUUGUCUUCUGCUGAAGAAUCUUGAAUAAUCAUGCCAAAUUCAAAAAGUGGCAAAAGCAAAAGGCUAAGUUCUUAAUGAAUUCAAUAUUAUUACGAAUUUGGUGCUAGCUCAAUCUUGAAAAUGAUCCAAAAAUUAAAAAGUAAACAUAUAAUAAUCACAUCUACAAAUGUACAUUAUUAGUGAGUCAUUGAUGAUAUCCCAUCACGAAUUCAUUAGCUGACUAAUUAAAGAUACCACGAAAAUAUUAUAUCAUUAGCUGGUCUAAAAAAGUAGUCAAUAAGAAAAUGAAAGGUAAAUUCAUAAAUUUCAGCCGGAAUUUUUUUUUUUUUUUUAAAAGGACCAAUAAUUGUAGGAAAUGGCUAGCUUCUUAUCCUCUUCACAAAAGAUUAAAUCCUCUUGAAAAGGUUUGUUACUGAAAUACAUAUCAUAUUACACCAACACUCUCUAUUACCAUAUGAAUUUAGAUCUUCCCCUAACUUAAUAUUUCAUAUAAUAUUGUAGGAAUAAUCUUCAUCACCGGAGAUUAGGAUCUUCUCCUAACUUAAUAUCUCAUAAGUGUUGUAUGAGAUUAUUUAGCUCAUGUCAUUAUAUUUUUCUAAAGCUAGGAUUUAAUUUACUUUAUACUUUCCUUAUUAAACAUUAAAACCAAUAAUUUUCUAGGCUAAGUAAAACCAUGAAAUUCAAGUGUGCCGCUUUCUAACCAAACUGCUGCUUCUUUCUCUACCGUUUUUUUUUUUUUUUUUUGGUCACAAACUUUAAACUGUGGUAUAUAUAAACUUGAGCAAAGAAGCAUUAUUGGUAGGAUUGGCAAUGAGACGGGAUGGGAUGAGAUUUACCAAUCCCACUCCCGUCCCGCAUAUAUAAUUGAGAUAAAAAAAUGUCUCACUCCCAUCCUUCAAUUUUUUUAUGGGACCAAAAUAUAUCCCAAUCCUGUCCCAAAUUGCCAUCCCUAAUUAUUGGCAAUUCAUUCUUUUAAGAAUUGUUUAUGUAAUGGAAUCAGACCAGAACAGAAUGCAUUAUUGUUCGAUAUACGUAGUCUACAAUAACAAUUGAAGACACCUGAAGAUAAUAUCAAUUAUAGACAAUUGUUAUUGCAAUAUAUUCAAUGCAUUGUUGCUAUCGCUUGUCUGCAAUUAAUUUUAUAUAAAUUAAGCUGAUAUAUCUCAUUUCAGUGUACUAAUAAUUAAGUUGAACGUUGAUGCAGCUACUGCUAUUUCCAGGAACACAGCUUUCUAGGAGCCAUUAUUCGUAAUGUGAGAAGGGAGAUUAAUUAUGGCAGUAGCUAUCUAAAGUAAAAUUUUGGAGAUCUUGAAUUCGCAGAAGCAGAAGCAAUGAGAUUUGGGAUCGAAAUAUGCAAACGGCACAGGUCUAUUUCCAUUCAUUAUUGAAUCAGAUACUAAGAAUGUUGUCAAUCUUGCUGCAGCACUUGAAAGUACUAGAAAAGAGAUUCUUUGAGUGAUAUAUCUCUGAUAUUUAAUUGUUGGCUAGACAACUGGCAAUUUCAAAUUUGUAUUCAUUCCUAGAAUAUGUAACGUGGAAGUUCAUAGAUUAGCUAAACUUGCAGUUAGCGAUCAGAAAGCCGUAUUGUUUGGAUUGAGAAUAUUCCUAUAGAUGUAAAAUCUUAUCAUUUUUGAAGAAUUUUUUACUUUGAAAAUAAAAUAAUUAAGGGCCAUCUCUAUCGUUGCGAAUUGUAACUCGUAGACUUUGCGGUCCACAUUAUGAAUUUAAAAUUCUUGCAUGAUUAAUCACCCACAUGAGCAUGCUCCCCCAACCUGCCACAUCAUGUUACCACUUCUUCCAAUCUGUGUAUACACACACACACACACACACACCAGUAUGGCCUCCAUGCAAAUCACAAACGCAGUAUCUAAUAUUGUUUGUCACUGGCAAGAAACAUGAAUAUUAAAGCCUUCUUUGUUCUCUCCACAGUGCUCUCAUUGCUUCUCUUGUUAUGUAUCAUUUGAUCAGUAAUAAUGUUAGGUUAAUCACAAAUUCAUUAUAUAAAAUAUUUUGUACAAAAUUGAUAACACAUAAUGUACAGUAUCGAUGUGAUAAGAACACCACACAACCCGAUCAUUAUUUUAUAUUUCCAUUCAACCAAUACUAUUUUAUCACAUCAGCUUUAAGAGUAGCUUAAUUAUAGCUAGCUCUAGCAUUACUCGUUUUGAUUCAAAUGAUUUUCGAAUUUUUAUCAUUUGCAUGGUCAAUAUAUAGUUCCUCUCUCUUUUUUUUAUUUUUUAUUAAUUGUUUUCCUUGUGUGCAGUUUGCCAACAUGAUAGAUGCAAGAAAAUACCAUGGAGACGAUUGGAGUAUUGUCGUGAAAAAUCAAGACAUGCCUUGGGAAUCAACUCAAGGUCUCAUUCCCGAAGUUCAAGGCCCGACCAUCUCUAAAACCAAAGCCUAUUGCCAUACACAUGAUGAUUCUGAGCACACCAUGGAGAAGCCUUUUGUCAAUAAGAACUUUGAGCUGAUGCCUGAUGUUUCAAUCUAUGACAACGGUAUUAAGCCAACCAAACAAAAGGCUUUUGCCAAGCACUUCGAGUUCUUGCCUGAUGUUUCAAUUUACGACAACGGUAUUAAGCCAACCAAACAAAAGUUCUUCGCCAAGGACUUCGAGCUCAUGCCUGAUGUUUCUAUUUAUGACAAUGGUGUAAAGCUAGCCAAACAAAGGUUCUCCGCCAAGGACUUCGAACUCAUACCUGAUAUUUCAAUUUAUAACAAUGGUGUAGAGCUAGCCAAACAGAAGGCAUUCGCCAAAGGCUUCGAGCUCAUGCCUGAUGUUUCAAUUUAUGACAAUGAUAUUAAACCAACGAAGAAGAGUUCAUAUGCCAAGGACUUUGAGCUGAAGGCUGAUAUUUCAAUUCAUGAACCGACCGAACAAAAAUAGGUAAUUAGCAUUACGGAUCUGCAGCCAGAUGCUACAAUUUAUCAUAAUUAAAUAGAUGAUCAUGCUUGUAAUCAGGCGCAGGAUGGAGUCUCUUACCAUAUUUAAUGUUCUAGAAGAGUAGCCACAUACGUGCAAUAACGCUUUCCUUGUUUGUGUGUGUUGUCAAAAGCGCUGUUUCUAAAGUAAUGUAAUAAGUGCUGAAAUAACCCAUGCAAUAAAAUCAUGUCAUGCGUCUUUAAUUUUUUUUUUCUCUCUCUCUUAAACAAUCUUAUGAUAGAUUAUUUACAAGUUAUAAUUUAUAAAGAGAGAAACUAUAUUAAAAUAAUGCUUUUUACAUAAAUAUUCUAUCCAUUAAUCUCGUAUAGCUAAUUAAGUUUGUUUUUUUUUUUUUUAUUUACAACGACAUCCUUAGAUGUUUAAAUUGUUUUUUUUUUAAAGGUAAAAGGGUUGGGUCAAUCAAAAUUAAUUUUUUCACCCUGAUCUCUUUGAGAUUCGAACUUAGGUGGCUAGCUAACUAAGAUUAUUUGAAACCAUUCGGUUGGGUUUCUAGGGGCCUUGGAUGUUUAAAAUUUGUAUUUUGAAUUGUUAUUCAGAUGGAACAAUAUAAUUAACUUUAAUUUCAAAGUCAAUUUGACCCUAUUUAAUUUUGAGAUGCUGUUACUUUUAAACUAGCUACUUGGGAAAAAAAAAAAGUCGUAACCUUAAAAUAAAAAGUGAUACUGUGUGGAAAAUAUGAUUUUAAAUAAUAAUUUUGACAAAAUAGCAAAGAAAUAUUAUUUAAAUUAUUAUUACCAGCCAAACAAAAAUAGGUUUUUUAUUAUACAAAUGCAAGAUCAAAUCAACUUAAUUUUUGAGUUACAACAACUACUACUUACUAAACACUUUGAUGUCAAUACCAAAUAGGCCUCUUUUUUCCUCUCCCUCUCUAAUUUGUAAGACUACCCAACCAUAUAUUGUAUAAUAUUCAAUUAUUAUAUUAACUAGUUUUAUUUUCUUAUGAUCACAUGAUAUCUUUUUUUUUUUCAAGAAUCUGAACAGAUAAUGGUUUUAAAGCUCAGAAGUAGAUCUGAUUCUAAAUAUUUGGAAAUUGAAAAAAAAAAAAAAACUAAUUCACAUUUGCAGAAGAAGGUAUGUACUUGAUAACUUGAACGCCAUGAUGGUAUAUAAUUAAAUUUAACUAUUGUUAUAUUUUUAUUUAUUAAUCACUAAUUAUUCACGAUGAAUUUUAUUUGAAUAAGUUCAUAUCAUGAUAGAAUCUUAAUUCAAAUACAUAUGAAAAAAAAAAAUCUAUGACUGCACUAAUAAGAUAUUUCAUUUAAUCAUGUGAUAUUAAAAUGAAAAUUAUGAUAGAUAAACUUAAAUUUUCCAUUUUCCCCCCUUUAUCAUCUCACAUGGGCCACUUCAAUUCGCUGAAAUCCUGAUGCUUCGGCCUCCAGAUGUAAAAGAACAUGAGUCACAUAUAGUAUUGGUAGAUGCGUGAAUGGAUCACAUCUCACUCAACCAACAAAUUGCAUGUCAUCUGGAAAAUGAUUUAAAUAAAUGAACAAAUACUCAGUCCUCUAUUUUAAGUUAAGUAUUUGUUUAUUCCUUAUAUUUUAAAAAUAUCUCAAAAUAAGUUGUAGUUAAAUAUAUUACAUUCUUAAUCUUGUUUUUGCUUUGCUUUUAUAAUAAUGCCCUUAUAAUAAUAUUCUUGACAUUAAUUAAUUUAUCUAUAAAAUUUUAAUUAGAAAAUUAACCAAUAAUUAUUUAGUAAUAAAUUAACCAAUAAAUAUUAGUACAAAAGAACUAAUAUUUUUUGUACAUGUGCGACAAUCGUGCUAAUAAUUUAUUUAUAAAUAAAAUUAAUAUUAGUCAACUUAAAGUAAUGCUUAUCAUCCUUGCAAUAAUUUUACUAAUAAUUAUUUUAUAAAAAAUUAAUUUACCAAAUUAAUCCUAAAAGUAAAAUAAUAACAUAAAAAAAAAUUACUGUAAAAAUUUUUAUGCUACUUUGAAGGCUAAUUUGAUAAAGAAUGGAACUACUAGCACUCCUUCAAAAUCUUUUUUAAGACCCCUUUUUAAAUACACCCAAUCAAAUAAAUGAAAAAUUAUAUCACUUCUAAAAACAACCAUCUUUAUUCCACAAUUGUCCUUCAAUCUUAUCUCUCAUAAAAUGAUAAAAUUACAAAAAUAAAAAUCUUUUUGUGGAUACUAUUGCAAUAAUGAUCAUUAGCAUUCUUCACAAAUUUGAUUAACAAGUAUGGAAUGGUAUGUAACUUUAGAUUUCUAAAUUUUAACUUUUCUUUAUGUUUUGCAACAAAUAUACCUUCUAUUUUAAUAUAUGAUACCUAUUAAUUUAAUUUUUUUCAAAUAACAAAACUCACUUGUUCAAACAAACAAUGAGACCAAAAAAAGCAAGGGAAAAAAAGUGAACAAAUAAAAGGUAGAACUACUUGACACAUAAAAACUUUAAAAAAAAAUGAAAAAGAAGAGAUCUAGUAAAAGAAGUAUGAGUAUAAAAUAAGCCAGGCAAUGAAAGAAUCAUAGCUUUUCGACAAAUUCCAUGUCAAUGUCCUUUUGGAAUAAAUUUUUAAUGUUAUCUAUUUGAAUAAUGAUGGUGGUUGAGUUUCCACUUUCCAUUAUGCUCUCGAAUGUAAGCUUCUGAUGCGUCUUCUAAAAUAAUUCUAGAUAUUUUAUUUUAAAUUUAUUUGAAUUUGUAAGUUACCCUUUUAAUUGCGGUUAUCAUGUAAACAAUUGUUGCCAAAUCAUAAACAAAAUCCUGAGUAGGGACGAUAAUGGGACGGUUUUGAUCGAUGAUCCACUUAAUCUAAAUCUAAAUUUAUCAUAUUUGGAUCAGUAUAAAAUGAAUUUGGAGUGGGUACAUAUGAAUCUAGAUGAGUAAAUUCAAAACAAAUUUAAAGCACGUAUACAAAUCUAACUUAAAAUUCGGAUCCGUAUCCAUAUCUAAUUAGAAAUCUUUUAAUUUUAUUUUAUUUUUAAAAGUAUUAAACUAUCGAUGGUUUAAUACUUUUACAAUCAAAUUAAACUUAUACCUAGCUUACUGAAAUCAUACCACAUUUAUGAGAUGCAAUAUAUUAUCAGUUUUAUAUGAAAUUCAAAGUAUUAUUUUUAAUUUUAUUUAAGAUGAAUUAUGUGUUUUAGUUGAUAGUAAGACGUUUUUUUCUCAAAUAUUUUUGUGCUCUUAUUAUUCUUAUGAGGCUUGAAAGUUUAAUAAGAUAAAUUUAUUAAUAUUCUAUUAUAAUAUAUAAAAUUUUAAAAUUAAAAAUUGAUAAAUCCAAGAUAGAUUUGGAGCAAAUCCGAACCUUUAUUUUAAAUUUGAACUUAAAUAUACAGUAAAAAUCAUAAAUCUAUAAUGAAUUUAGAGUAAAUACAAAUCUCAAUUUUUAUUAUUAAUCAAGAAUUAGAACAGAAUAGAUCCAGCUGAUAUAUAUGUCCCAUUGUCAUCCCUGUGACUGAUGAAAAGAUAUAGGAAAAUAAACAGGAGUUUAAUAAGCUAGACAAUAAAAGAAUCAUAUAUAGCAAUGAUUGAUUCUUUCUUCCUAUCCUUAUGAAAUCUUUCUCAAUGUCUUUUCUACGAAAUCUUUUUUAAUGUCCUUUUCGAAAAUAUCACCCUUCAGCCAAUGACUUUGAGCUGAAGGCUGGUAUUUCAAUUCAUGAACCAACCGAACAAAAAUCGUUUGUCAACAAUAUGGAUCAGCAGCCAGAAGCUACAAUUUAUCAUUAUUAAAUAGGUGAUCAUGCUUGCAACCAGGCGCAGGACAGAGUCUCUGACCAUAUUUAAAUGUUGUAGAAGCGUAGCCAUAUAUAUGAAACGUUUCACUUUGUUUUCGUAUGUUAUCAAAGGCUCAGUUUUAAAAGUAAUAUUGUAAUAAGUAUUGAAGUGUCCCAUGCAAUAAAAUCGAAGUGUCCCAUGCAACAAAAUCAUGUCAUGCGUCUUAAAUUUAUUUUGCCCUCUUAUUUAUCCUAGAUGGUAAAUACUGUUAUGAUAGAUUAUUCAAAAGGUUAUAAGGGGAGAAGAUAAGUUUAUUUUUUUUUGGGGAAAAACAUUUCCUUGCUGAAAAAAGCAAAAAUUUACAUAAGUACUGCAAUGUCUGUGGGCGGCUCUUCCAACUGAAUAAGAUCGUUAAUCAAAGAGAGUGCUAAUUUUGCUAACUGAUAAGAAACUGUAUUACAAUUUCUAAUUUCUGAAAUGAUCCAUUCAAUCUCCUUUCUACUUGAUAAAACGCCCGUAAUUAGAUGGACAAGAUUUACUGAAUCAAAUUCCACAAUAAAAAGAGUUAAGCAUAAAUCUAUCGCCGGCUUGAUGCCUUCUAGGAUAGCUUCAGCCUCUGCAAACUCGAUGUCGCUAAGAAAAGAUUUCUUGUGGCUGAGCCAGCUAUAAAAUCUCCCUUGAAAUUUCCUAUAAUUGCACCCAAACCUGUAAUUCCAUUGGAGAUGUCAAUCGGUGCAUCAACGUUCAAGUUGUACCAAUGAUUAUCCGGUGGAAUCCAACUAACACCCUUCUUGGUUGGAGGGACUAGAAACUCUUGAAUUGGAGAGCCUUGAGCAGCAGUGUACGAAUUCAAAACAGCUUCAGCCUUGCAAAGAACACUCUUUGGGUCCAUCUUUUGAUUCUGAUAGAGCGCUAUGUUCCUAGAAUGCCAAAUAGACCAUGUAAUCAUCCCAAACGAUGGUAGUCCUCUUUUGACAGCCAAGAUUCCAAAUUCUUUGCAAAGAGAGCAAAAUCCAUAUGAGGGUUAUUCGUUACAUAAGCAGCCAAAGUUGACAACUUCCACACCUUGAUCGCAAACUUAUAGCCAACUAACUCAUGAAAGGUACCCUCAAUAGCACUAAAACAUCGAUGACAAUUUGGAGAAUCCACUACUUUUCAUUUCAAAAGAUUAUUUGAUGUAGAGAGUAUAUUACGUAGAGCUCUCCAAAAAAAAGAUCGACUUUAGAUGGAAUGGAUAAAAGCCAAGCGGGAUACCCCAAUUAGCAUAGCCAAAUGAACUUAGAGGGGGAAUUAGGAUAAGUAAGACUAAGGGCCACUUGUAACCACUCUUAAAAGUUUACAAAUUUAUUUUGUACAAACUGAUUUGACAUUAACUUAUUGAUUAAAUAAAAAUACAACAACAUGUUUUUAUAUUUAAAAUAUAUAUAUUCACAUAUACGAAGGUAUAUACUUGAACAAUAUGAGUAAUACAUGUGAAUUAAAAUCAUCUCCUAAUCUAAGCUCCAUUAAUUAAUUUUAAAAAAAACUUGUCACAUGUUUUUAGUAUAGUGUAUAAUUAUUGUUAUGUUUUUAUUUAUUAAUUUCCAAUUACCUGCUAUAUAUCUUACUCAACAAUGUUUUGAUCAUGAGAGAAUUUUAAUUCAAAUACAUAUGAAAAAAAAAGAAGAAGAAAUCUGAGACCAUACUAAUAAGAGAUUUCCUUUCAUGUGAUUUUAAGAUCAAAAUUAUGAUAGUAUGCAAAACUUGGUUGCGUUUAGUAUUGUUCUUUAAACAUGUUUUUUGUAUUUAUUUUAUAAUAUAGAUAUGAUUAAUAUUUGAUGAAUUUGAAAAUUUGUUUGGUAUAUAGUAUAUAGUAUGAAUUUGACCACUAAAUAUUAAUAAUUAUAUUUAUAUACAAAAUUAAAAAAAAAUAAGGAUUUCUCUACCUUAACGUUUAAUGUAAGGUACAUCCCUUACAAAUUGAGCUAUAAGUCCACUUGAGCCCACAGCCAAUAGAGAGGUUGUACCUUACAUUAAAUGUAAGUAGAGAUGGCCAAUGGGUCGGGCGGCACAAGGCACAGCACGUGUCCGUACAACAUGGCACGACACGAGCACGUUUUCGGUAGGGCACGAAGCACGGCACGGCACGCAAAAAGGCACGUAAUAAGCACGCUUCAUUGAUAGGCUAAGCACGUAGCCCGUGGGCCAAAGUAUAUCAAAAUAAAAAAUUUUAAUGAAAAAUAAAUAUAAAAUAUCAUGAUUUUAUAAAUAUCUUGAAAAUUAAAUUUUUUAAUAUAUUUUUUUAGCAUAGGUUUUUUAAAAUUAAUUUAAGUCCUAGUUUAAAUAAAUAUUCUAAUUUUUUAUGUUUAUAAUUUAUUAAAUGGAAUAAAUAAAUAUCAUGAUUUUAUAAAUGAUAAAUGAAAAAUUUUACGACAUUAAUAUUUCAUUUAUGAAAUCAUAACUUAGUUAAUAGUUAAUGGAGAUAUGUUUCAUUUAGUGAAUGAAAUAUUUUCAUAUUUAUGCACAAAAAAAUAAAAUUAUGAACAAAAUAUUUUUAUGAUAAAUUAAAAAUUACAUUUUCAUUCAAUGGAGUUUAUGUGCAAUUAUAAUAUUAGUAGCUCAAAUAAAAUUAGAUGUAAUUGUAUUCUAGAAUUGUAAUUUUAUUUCAUUAAUUUAUACUAUGAUCUAUGAAAUUAUAUUAUUAUUGUCGUUGUUGUUGUUGUUAUUAUUAUUAUUAUUAGGCUGGUAGGGUUAAAAAAGCACGCCAGGCACGUGGACUUUUUAGGCAUACUGGACAUGUGGACAAAGAAAAAAGGUUGGUGGCUUUUUUUUGGCACGGCCCACGGCACGAGUUUGGACAUGUGGACAAAAAAAAGUUGGUAUGGGUUUUUUUAGCACGAACCACGGCACGGUACGGCACGAGUGGGCUCGUGCCGUGGGCCGUGCCGGCUCACGAGCCCGUGGGCUGACAUUUUGUGGGCCGUGCCGUGCUGGCCAUCAUUAAAUGUAAGGUAACAGCUCCCAAAAAAUAAAUGAAAGAGAGAGGCAACAUAGCAUAAUACGGGCCGGACCCACAUCUUCAUAAAACUAUGUCAUAAAAGCAGUGGUAGUUCCUAUGAACAAAGUGAAGAAUAAAGAUUUGAUGCUGUCUAAUUAUCUUCGUUAACAUUGUAAAAUAGAUAUGGUUUGCUUUCAUAAUAAUAAAAAUGUUACUGUUACUGAGGCUUAUCAAACAUUUUUUUCUAUUCUUAUAAAAUAGAAAAUGAGUGAUGAAAAACAAUACCAUACAGCCCAAAUUUUUUCCAUUUUUACCCCUUUAAUCAUAGCCUAUCGGCCUCUCCAAUUAGUUGAAAUCUUGAUGAUUCGACCACAGUUGUAAGAGAAAUUCUAGAAUAUAUCUAUUGUAUUAUAACUAAUUAAUGCAUGCACGACAUGCGUAAUUGAGUUUAAUACAACCACCACUUGCAUGAUAGUUUACAAAAUAAAUGCACACAUCAUGAUAUUAUUGCUUGUUGUAUGGGUGACAUAGUACAACAGAUGUAUUCUAGAAUUUCUCCAAGUUGUAAAAUACCAUUUGAGUCACAUAUAUUAUUGGUAGAUGAGUAGAUCGCAUCUCCCUCAACCAACGAAUUGCAUGUCAAUGUGAAAAUUGAUUUAACUGUUUAGUCUGUUUUUCAAUGAGACGUUUUCGUUCAAACUUUUACCUUCAAUCAAUGGGACCGAAGAAAGUAGGAAAAAAAAAAUUAAACAAAUAAAAGGUAGAACUAGUUGACAGACAAAAUUUUAUCAACAUUUUGAAACAACCAACAUUAAAAAGAAAUAAAAAAAUAAAAGAAGAGAUCUAGUAAAAGAAACAUGAGUUUAAUAAUUAAGCUAGAAAAGGAAAGAAUCUUAGUAAGCUUUUCAACAAGAUCCUUUUCAAUGUCCUUUUCGACAAAAUCUUUAUUGUCAAUAUAUUGAAAAAUGAUGGUGGUUGAGUUGUCACUAUGUAUCUCGAAUUUAAGCUUCUGAUACGGUCUUUUAAAAAUAAUUCUGGAUAUUUUAUUUAAAUGGUAACUUUUAAUAGUGGUUAACUUGUAAACAAUUGUUGCCAAAUCAUAAACAAAAUCUUAUUGUCUCACGGAAAGAUACUGGAAAAUAAUCAUGAGUUUAAUAAGCUAGACAAUGAAAGAAUAAUAUAUACAUGUUAUAUAGUAACGAUUGAUUAUUUCUUCUUACCGCUAAGAAAUCUUUUUCUAUGCCUUUUUUCGACAAAAUCUUUAAUGUUAUAUAUUGAAUAAUGAUGGUGAUUAAGUUUCCAUUAUGCAUCUCUCAUGUAAGCCUCAGUCCCUAGAAUUAACUAGCUCUCAGGAUUCCCUGCAUCAGUUAACUACAGCUUCCAGGUUUAUCAAUAAUUAUGGUACACCAUCCUCCAAUAUCUGUGCAUAUAUAUUUUUUAAACAGGAAUUUUGGAGUUUGGAUCAUAUUAAAAUAAAGGAUAAAUUAAAAAUAAGACAAACAUACUCUAAACAUAUUUUAUUUUAUCAUGUAAUAUAUUGAAUUUCAUAUUUUUCUGUCUUUUUAGCUUGUUAUAACGAUCCUUUAUAAGAAAUUAAAUGUAUCUUGAUUCUCUCCCACACUAACUUUAGAAGAGAAAUUAUUUAAUUUGCUUUAUUCUUUUACUACUACUACUGCGUCAAAAUAACCAACAAUUGACGACAACAAUUAUUGAAUAUGUAACAAAUUUACAUACAUUUUGACGACAUCUUUACUUGUUUGUGUUGGCAUCCUUAUUGGCAAAUUACAACAUCGUUCAGUCUUCUUAUAAUUAAGCAAUUGUCUAUGUAACAUAAAUUAUGUAUUAAGAACAUCAAUAUGGCGUGGAGCAUUGCGCAUAGAAGAGAAGAAGUAAAGUCUUAGGCGUCUACUCCAUGUGGGAAACAUGGGAUUAUCACAAAGAGAGAUUUAAAGAUUAUAACAAAAGAGAGAUUUUAACUAACUUGUUAUGGAGGGAUGAGAUAACGAUCAAGUUGGCAUAAUCUGUAGAGAUAACGACGAGUUUGGAAUAAUCAUGUGGUGAUAAUAUUAUGAUAUUCUGCCUUUUGAUCAACUGAGCACGCUCCCUCUCACAACACAACUCUCUUCAUAAGAAUUGGCCAACAUGGAUUGUCACUUUUCAUGUUAAUUUGAUAUUACCUUGAAUGGCAUAUUAAUUUGAUUUGAAAAAUGGAACGAGAGUAGAGGAAAAAAGGAGAAUGAAAAGAAAUAAGAAAAAAAAUGAUGAAUUUCAUAUAAAAAAUCAAAUAAUGAAAUAAUAAAAUUGAGGUCGAUUCUCUUUUUUUUCUCUUUUUUCUCUAAUAAAAAUAUAUCAGAUUAAUGACAAAGUAUUGAUAUUUGAUCCCCUCAGUUUCUCUUAUUAUCUCCCACUUCUCUCAUUUUAAUUUGAAAAGUCAAAAAUACCUACCAAAAUAAUUUUAAGUUUUAAAUUUUACCCUUUCUUCUUUCUCUCCUCUCUCUUAUUCUCCCGACUUCCCUUCAUCUUCGUUUUCUUUAAAAAUUGAAGAUUAGUACACUUUCCUUCAUUUUUUGAUCUUUCUGUAUCGAUGAGAGCAAUAAUUGACAUCAUCAAACAAUCCUUUUCUACCCAAAUCAUGAUUAUAAACAAAAGUAAAAAAUAGCAAUAUCAUGAUAUGGAAUCUUGAUCAUAUCUCAUGAUCCCUCUUCAGCUUCUAUGUUAAUCAAAAGAAAAAAAUAUAAUCGAUUAAAGAUUAAAUUUAAAUUUUAAAAUGUUGUCCUUUUUUUGGGGGGGGGGGGGGGGGAUAAAAAAGAGUUUGAGAUCAAGAUGACAGUGUUGCAUAAAUAAUUAUUAUUAAAAAUUAAAGAAACGGCUUGCAUGUCCCACUUAUUGCUAAGAAGAGAAGUGGUUCGCGCCGGCCAGUUCCAAGAAGACAAGUGGUGGUGUCAGUGCAUGGUUAGUAAUUAUUGGGGACUAGAACUAAUGAUGGUGAUUAAGUUUCCAUUAUGCAUCUCUCAUGUAAGCCUCAGUCCCUAGAAUUAACUAGCUCUCAGGAUUCCUGCAUCAGUUAACUACAGCUUCCAGGUUUAUCAAUAAUUAUGGUACACCAUCCUCCAAUAUCUGUGCAUAUAUAAUUUUUAAACAGGAAUUUUGGAGUUUGGAUCAUAUUAAAAUAAAGGAUAAAUUAAAAAAUAAGACAAACACAUACUCUAACAUAUUUUAUUUUAUCAUGUAAUAUAUUGAAUUUCAUAUUUUUCUGUCUUUUUAGCUUGUUAUAACGAUCCUUUAUAAGAAAUUAAAUGUAUCUUGAUUCUCUCCACACUAACUUUAGAAGAGAAAAUUAUUUAAUUUGCUUUAUUCUUUUACUACUACUGCGUCAAAAUAACCAACAAUUGACGACAACAAUUAUUGAAUAUGUAACAAAUUUACAUACAUUUUGACGACAUCUUUACUUGUUUGUGUUGGCAUCCUUAUUGGCAAAUUACAACAUCGUUCAGUCUUCUUAUAAUUAAGCAAUUGUCUAUGUAACAUAAAUUAUGUAUUAAAACAUCAAUAUGGCGUGGAGCAUUGCGCAUAGAAGAGAAGAAGUAAAGUCUUAGGCGUCUACUCCAUGUGGGAAACAUGGGAUUAUCACAAAGAGAGAUUUAAAGAUUAUAACAAAGAGAGAUUUUAACUAACUUGUUAUGGAGGGAUGAGAUAACGAUCAAGUUGGCAUAAUCUGUAGAGAUAACGACGAGUUUGGAAUAAUCAUGUGGUGAUAAUAUUAUGAUAUUCUGCCUUUUGAUCAACUGAGCACGCUCCCUCUCACAACACAACUCUCUUCAUAAGAAUUGGCCAACAUGGAUUGUCACUUUUCAUGUUAAUUUGAUAUUACCUUGAAUGGCAUAUUAAUUUGAUUUGAAAAAUGGAACGAGAGUAGAGGAAAAAAGGAGAAUGAAAAGAAAUAAGAAAAAAAAUGAUGAAUUUCAUAUAAAAUCAAAUAAUGAAAUAAUAAAAUUGAGGUCGAUUCUCUUUUUUUUCUCUUUUUUCUCUAAUAAAAAAUAUAUCAGAUUAAUGACAAAGUAUUGAAUUGAUCCCCUCAGUUCUCUUAUAUCUCCCCACUUCUCUCAUUUUAAUUUGAAAAGUCAAAAAUACCUACCAAAAUAAUUUAAGUUUUAAAUUUUACCUUUCUUCUUUCUCUCCUCUCUCUAUUCUCCCGACUUCCCUUCAUCUCGUUUUCUUUAAAAAUUGAAGAUUAGUACAACUUUCCCUUCAUUUUUGAUCUUUCUGUAUCGAUGAGAGCAAAAUUGACAUCAUCAAACAAUCCUUUUCUACCCAAAUCAUGAUUAUAAACAAAAGUAAAAAAUAGCAAUAUCAUGAUAUGGAAUCUUGAUCAUAUCUCAUGAUCCCUCUUCAGCUUCUAUGUUAAUCAAAAAGAAAAAAAUAUAAUCGAUUAAAGAUUAAAUUUAAAUUUUAAAAUGUUGUCCUUUUUUGGGGGGGGGGGGGGGGGGAUAAAAAAGAGUUUGAGAUCAAAGAUGACAGUGUUGCAUAAAUAAUUAUUAUUAUAAUAAUUAAAGAAACGGCUUUGCAAUGUCCACUUAUUGCUAAGAAGAGAAGUGGUUCGCGCCGGCCAGUUCCAAGAAGACAAGUGGUGGGUGUCAGUGCAUGGUUAGUAAUUAUUGGGGACUAGAACUGAUUGCCAAGAGUGAGGGUGCAUUUAAUAUUGAGGUUGAGUAACUUUUAAGAUACUGUACUAAAGUGUUUGGUAAACACUAAUUACGGUAGCUUGGAAACUAUGGUGGUAUUUGUUUUUUAACUUAAUGACUUAAAGUGACUUAACUUAAUUAAUUAAGUUAAUUAGAGGUGUUUGUUUUUAUAACUUAAUGAGACUUUUUAGAUAAUUUGACUUAAUAAAAUAAGCUAAUUUUUUGGCUUUUUACUUAAUGGAGAAAUCUGAAUUAAGUUAAUUACUUGCUAAUGUCAAAAAUAUCUCUGUUUUAUAAUUAUUUUUAUGUCUAUCCCAAAACUCACCCAUAAAUAUUUACCCCACAUAAAAAUAUCCCUGUUUUUCUUUCUAUAUUAUAUACGAUAAAAUUUGAAAAUUUAUGGUAUUUAUAUAUUAAAAUUCUAAAAUAAUUAUGUAUUCACGUGAAUAUAGUUUUGCUUAUAAAUGUUAAAAUAUUAUGGUAUUUAAUAUAUUAUUUAUUGACAUUUCAAAUUUAAUAAGGCUACAAAUGUAAAAGUACAUAUUUUCAGCUUUUUAAGUUGAAAAAAACAACAGCUUAAUACUUAUUUUCCGAGAUUCAUACGAAAAAACAAACAUAUUAUUCAGAUUCAGACAUUCAGAUCUAUUAAGAAUUCAGACUAAUUCAGGUUUAUUCAGAUUUUAGAUAAAAAAAACAAACGCCACCUAUGUUAAUAUGAUUUUUUUCUUAUAUAAUAAAAAAUUUAUUAUAUCUUUAAUAAUUUGUCAAAUUAUUAUUUAAAAUUUAUAUAUACUAUAUAUUAUUAAUUUUGUUUCAUAUUACAGUUUUUUUCAUAGCAGUUAUAACUUAAAAGGUAUAGCACCUCAAUUUCAAACAGGACCUGAAUCUUGUUCAACAAGCAACAGAUUUAGCACCGAUGAGAGAAGAACAAAUAUUAAUUUAUUUUUUUUAAUGAGGGCAAUUCUGAAUAUAAUUAUAACUAGUAAAAUGGGAGCUAACGAGAUAAAUUGAGAGGUUUAAUAUCUUUACUCUUAAUAUAAAAAAUAACCACAUCGAAGUGCACUGUUAAAUAAAUAAGUGCCAUCACUAUUUAUGCAAUUUACAUGAUAUUAUGAUUAAUCUUGCAUAUGAUUAUUUAUUAAUAAAAAUAUGUAACAUGUGCUAGCACAUACUAUUUUCCUCUAAAUUUCUUAUACCACAUUUUUUCCUAUAAAUAGAAAGAGGCACACGUCUUCCACGCAAAUCACACAAGUAAGACUUAGUAUAAUUAGAAACAUGAAUCUCAAAGCUUUCUUUGUUCUCUCCGCAGUGCUCUCUUUGCUUCUCUUGGUAUAUAUGCAUCUCUUUUUUAGGAAAAUUUAACAUAAAGGAUACCUAAUUAAGUUAGUUUUGAUGAGAUUCUCUUUAUCAUUUGUUUGAUCUAAUUUUUUUUUUUCCUCUUGUUCAGUUUGCUAACAGAACAGAGGCCAGAAAAGAUCAGGGAGAAUAUUGGAGAGGCUUCGUCAAAGAUAGCGACGUGCCAGAAUCAAUUCAAAUUCAUGUUCGCCAGGAUCCUGUCUCAACUGCCUCUGAUGCCAAAGCCCACUGCAAAGAACCUGAAGAUUUAGAGCACAAGAGAGAAAAGACUUAUGUCAAGGAUUCUGACGCAACGAUUGAUAUCUUAGUUUAUCACAACAGUAUUAAACCAACUGAACAAAAGUUAUUUGGCAACCACUUCGAAAGCCCGGAUGCUACAAUUUACCACAAUGACAUUAAACCAACAGAACAGAAGUUAUUGGCAACCACUUCGAGUCAAGCCCGGAUGCUACAAUUUACCACAAUGACAUUAAACCAACAGAACAGAAGUUAUUUACCAACCACUUCGAGUCAAGCCCGGAUGCUACAAUUUACCACAAUGAUAUUAAACCAACAGUACAGAAGUUAUUUGCCAACCACUUCGUGUCAAGCCCGGAUGCUACAAUUUACCACAACGAUAUUAAACCAAUUGAAAUGAUUAAAUCUUUUGUUAGCAAAUUCUUGUCAAACCCUGAUGCUACAAUUUAUCAUGAGUAACCAGACUCUGCUUUCAAUCGUGUGGAGAGAGCCCGUUAUCCAUCUGUAAUAUUUGUGCGUACGUGUGAUGCUCUCUUUCUAUAAAUAAGUUAUGAGGAGUGCGGUUGUUUAAUGCUCUAAGGCACAAGCUUUGUAAGAAAGUGUGUUUUUAUUGUAAAAUUGAAUAAAAAUUUGUGCCAAGUUAAUUAAUUAUCCCUUUUCUAGUGAUUUUUUUUUUUCUAAUGCUUUGAUUAUUUCCACAAAAUCUUUCGUAAGGAAAGGCCUAGCUACUUGAAUCAAUUUUCUCCAUUUCAACGUUAUUUAGUAUAAUAAUAAUACAAAAAAUCAUUAAUCUCAGUAAUUGAUAAACAAUAUUCUUGCUAUUAUAUUGAGAAUUAAUUCCUAAUCUGAGAAAAUAAAUUAACAAUUAAAAAAUAAUAAAAGAUCGUGAACUACUUAGAUUUAUGGCCCUCUCACAUGUCGAUGGUACUUUACAUAAUUAGAAGCCUUUUUAUUAAUUUUAACAGACACCAUUCAAUCAACUUUGGUGACAUACUGAUAAUUGAUGCAAAAUUCUAUUUGGGGAAAAAAAAGUAAAAGAAAGAACUCCUAUUUUAGCUCUUAAAUCUUAAUUUUUCAAAUUUUAGAAGGAUUAAUGAUCAACAUUAUUUAGCCUAUUUUAUUUAAUUUAUAACUAUAGAAAUCCUAAAGCUGAUGGAGUAUACUUAAUACCUUAUUUUCCCCAAUCACAACCGUCUAAAUUCCUGAAACAUUUCAUUUCUUAAAUUUCAACGGUACAGAUUAAUUCUCUUACGAAAACUCAGCGACUUAUCCUGGACCGCCGCUACUAAAAUACAUAAGAGUAAAAUACUAUAGUAUUCCGGGACAAAUUUAUUUCUUCCACGACGCAAUAAAAUGCUGCGUCCAAUAACAUUCUGUUUCCUAAAGCUUACCCAAAUCGCAGAUAGGAACAUGGUUUGCAAUAAUUUUUCUAACAGAUCCUGCAUCAAAUUCGUUAAAAACUGGUUUAAUUUUUAUUAAAUAAUUUUAAGUAAAUUGAAUAAGAUAAAAAAUUUAAAAAGUUAUUAUUUUAUAAUGAAAAAGCUAGAUCAUCCAUACGUAAUAAAAAAUAGUACGCAUUCACAACUUAAUGCAAUAUAAUCUAGACAACCAAAUAUAUUUUAUGUAUUUUUUACAAAUUGCUUUUAGUAUAAGCAAAUAAGGUGGUUGUCUAAACAUUCAUAUUUUUGGAAGGUCUCAAUUUUUAAUAUUUUCUUAAUAAUUUCUAAUUAAUAAAGAUAUUUUUUUAACUUAUGUAUUGUAGAAAAACCUAUUAGACAUUUUUAUUAUUAACAACUAUACUACAAUUAAGAGUCUUUUUUGUAUAGAAAAUCAAUAUUUGUAACCUUAUUGAUAAAGAGAAAUGAUUAAUAAUAUUUUUAACCAUUAAUUCAUUCAUUAUUAGUUUUCUCAAGAAAAAAAGUUAAAUUCUUUACCUUUUCAUUUCCUAAAAAAAACUUGAUUAUUUAACAUUGAAAUCUUUGACUUUUAUUAUUCCUUUAGUUUCUAUUAGAACCUUAUAAUAUAAAAAAUCAAUAGAUAAAAAAAAUUUGUUCCUCCUUUCUUUACGAAGAAAAUUAUUAUAUUUAUUGGUUAAUUUAAAAAAGAAAAAUUAGUUUCUUGAAGUAUGAAGACCAUAUCUAUUAUCUGAUAAUCAAUUCAUGAUCUCGACUUUCUAGCUAUAUUCUGUCAUUCUAAAUAUUUUAUUUGAAAAUAAUAUUGUUUUAUUUAUUUGUUUGUUUGCUUUUUAAGAGUUCUGAUGGAAGUAAAAAAAACAAAUCUUUUUUACUAAUUUUUUAGGUUUUUUUUAAAAGAUUUUUUAAGAUAUUUUUUUAUUACUGUUAAAAUUUAAGAAUUAAAGAUAGAAUGAAUUUUUGAGUCUUUUCAUAUUUCUUUGAGUAUUGAAAUUACAAAAUAAAAUAUGGCCUUACAAAAAAAAAAUUCGCCUAAGACCCCAUAUACUCUAAUGCCGACUCUGGGUGAAAUUAUUGAUUUUAUUAAUAAUAAUAUGAUGUAUACUAACCAAUGUACAAAACAGUAGUGGGUGACAUAAAUUAGAAUUGUGUUGCAAAAACAAGAGGUUUGAGUGAAAAAGAAUUUACAAACUCACAUUACAAUGUUAUAUAGUUGCCAUAUGUCUCACAUUUUCAAAUGAACAAAAUAUAAUAAAUACAGUAUAAUCUUUAUAACUGAAUAUUCAAUAGAUUAAUAAUCUCUACUGUGUAAUAAUUUUUUAUGGUCAUGACUUAGGCCAAUAGGUUAAAUUAAUAAUUGCAAUAAAUUAAUAAGAUGAUAUUUUUUAUGAAAACCCUUAUAUAACUAUGUGGCUCCAUUCAUAUCAAAAUUAAUAAUUUUUUAAAAUUAUAAAUAUAAUUGACAAUAAUUUUUUAUUUAUUAAAAUGUGAGUCGAUUAUUAUCUUGUUCCCUUAUUACUUCUUUUCCUUGAAAUAUAAAUCUAUUUGAAUCUCGUAUCUAAUUUUUCUUAUUACAUCUAAAAGUUUUGGGAUUGAAUUCUUGAAUUAUAAUAAAAAAAAAAUUAUGAAGUGCUUUCGUACACAUAACUGGCUCCAAAGCAAUUGUAUCAUUCUCAACUUUUAUCAUCGACAUGAUUUUAAGUGAUGUCAGCAGUGGUUUAAUUUAUUCUAAACUUAAAAUCUCUCAACUUACAUCAUUUUUAUUAUGAUAAUCCAAGAGGUAAUUAAGUAGAUAAAUACAAUACAGUUAUUGUUUUGGUUUAUCUAAUAUCUAUUUAGUAGAUUAAUUCAUAUUCAAUAAAUUAGAUUAGUAAAAUAUAACGAAAUUUUAGUUAAUUAAAUGUACGUUUAUUGAACUAUAAAUGAACUCUAGAAAUUAAUAAAUUAUUAAUUUACUAAUUACAUAAUAAUUCUUUUAAUUAAUAAAAUUUAAAUAGUCCCAAUGUUAUUAAUUCAUAGAAGUUAUAUGAAAUAUGUGUCAACUAUAUAAUAUCGUAGUUUGUAAACAAAACAUAACUCUUUUGUUAAUUGAAUACUAACGUAAUGCUAUAGAAAUAACAUAUGUGACCAAUUUGCAUAAAUGUAUACUCUCUGUAUCUUAUUACAAAUGCUUUAUAAAUCAGUGACUCAGAUGUUAUUAUCUAAACUCGUGGAAGCAUUACUUUUGUCCCUGCCAAUAUCAUUCAGAUAAAUAGUUGUUGUGCGUUCAGAUUCACCAGGAAUGCUUACGCAAAACAUAGACUGAACCCAAGAGCUUCGAAACUCGAAACUGAACCAAAUCAUUCUAAUGGAAGAGAAACGCCGGGAAGCCAGAGCGCAACCGCGGCUACGAGCUCGGCCGCAGCUGGAGCCGAGUCAGCGGCAUCCGAGCCGGCUUCGCUCGGCGCCGAGCCGGAGCGCACAAAAGGAAAGCCUCGGCGCUCUCAGCGACUAACGCUUCAUCCACGCCGUCGAAGCGCAUGACUCGCGAGAAGAAUUUAGUUGCUCACACUCCGAUCUACAACCAUAACGUUACAUCUUGACAUUUGUAGUAAGAACGUGAGAGGAUACCUGGAGUGUAUUGGGAUUUGGGCGGAAGAGAAAGGAGCCCUUGGAAUUGGGAAACAAAUGAAAUUAUCUGCAUGGUCCUUGUACUCGUGGAGGGACUGUAACUUCUGAACCAACAAUGCUGAAAAUGCAGGGUCAAAAAUCAACAUUAACUUGAUGAAUAAUUGUUUGAAAAAAAAAAAAAGCAAGAAAACUUGAUUAAUAUAAAAGAGAGCAAAGGAGCACAACCAUACAGAAGUUGUAUAAAGGAAUAUUAAUCAAGCUUGAUUAAUAUUCUUCUUCUAUCCAACACCACAAGAUGAAACACAGUAUUCCUGUUGCAGUAUAUGGUGAGAACUGUGAAGUGCAGGAAGUAGUUUCCUAAGAGAGAUGAUUGAAUGCUCUUAAUUUUUUUUUUCAGAAAAUCAUUUUAUUUUUAAUAAAAGUUUAAUUUUUUUUAAUAAAAAUUUUUAUUUAUUUUUUAUUAAGUUGUGUCUCAUAUUUACUAAUAAAGGAAGUUAUUUGGGUAUAUAAGUAGGAUGUCUCAUCUAACAUGCUAGUAGGAUAAAUCUCUCAUCUAAUAUGCUAGUAUUUUGGGUUAAAUACCUAUAAAUUCUAAGCCGAGUCCACAACAGUCCCCAAAAUAACUGGAUUUAAGUCCUAGCUACACCAGUAGAUUGAAUAGAAGUGCAAAUAAGUUUAACUUUUUUGUCAUUCAUUUUAGUCUUUUUUUUUUUUUUUUUCACAUACAUUGAAAAAGGAUAACUCUGUCGUGAUUGCCAUGGCAGAGCCUAUUUCAAACGAUGGUGUAUGCUAAAGGAAAUUAUCAUGAGAUGAGUGAUAAACCAUACAAUCAGUAGCUACAGCCCACGAUUAAUCAGCCACAUGGCCACAAAUAUUAUUGGCGGCAAAUAUAUCAACAAAAUCACAAUAAAGAUGAGCAUCCUCGAUUCCAUUCCUUAAUGUAAAUAGGACAGCCUGUCUAGCCAUUACUUUAAGAGAUUUGGCUGGCUUUGACACUUGUAUAUAAGCUUGUAACCCUCUCAUUCUUUACAAGAAAUAAGAUAAUAUUUUCAGCUUAAUAAUUCUUUUCAGUGAGAUCAAAGAAAUGUAAAGAGAUAUAGUCACUACUACAAAAAUGUAAAACAAUGACCCAUAUGUUAUGACGGUUCUUCUAAACAACCGUCAUUAAAGAUAUUUAAUGACGGUUAUUAUGUGAACAGUCAUAAUAUAUACCACUUAUAAUGACGGUUAUGUAAUAAAACCGUCAUUAAAUGUCAAAUAAAAUUUACACUUAGUUUUAAUGACGGUUCAUUUAUAAAAACCGUCAUUAAAAGUCACUAUUUUUAAUGACGGUUCUUAUAUACAACGGUCAUUAUAUGUGUAGUUAAAAAUAAUAUUACUUUUAAUGACGGUUUUUUAAUAACCGUCAUUAAAAAUAAUAAUUUUUAAUCACGGUUUUUACAUAUAACGGUCAUUAUAUGUGUAAUUAAAAUAGUACUACCUUUAAUGACGGUUUUUUUAAAACCGUCAUUAAUAAUUUUUAAUGACGAUUUUUACAUUAAACGGUCAUUAUAUGUGUAAUUAAAAUAAUACUACCUUUAAUGACGGUUUUGUUAAGAACCGUCAUUAAAAAUAAAUUUAUUUUUAAUGACGGUUCUUAACAAAACCGUCAUUAAAAAUCAUACUUUUUAAUGACCGUUAUAUAUUAUAACGGUCAUUAUAUAUAUAAUUAAAAUGCUUUUAAUUUUAAUGACGGUUCUUUAAGAACCGUCAUUAAAAAUUGACAUUUUUAGUGACAGUUGUAUAAAACAACCGUCAUCGUAUAUAUUGAUAUAGUUAUAAAAAAAAAAAAAAAUUGGCCUUAUACUGAACACCAAAUCCCUAAAAUUACAGAUAAUUUGUAAACAUUAAAAGUAAUGGCGCAAGCACGCACGCCGCCGGUACACUUAGCCCAUGCAGCAGCAACCGAGCACGGUAGCAACAGGCCACCAGCAGUCGCUCUCUCUCUCACGCACACGCAGCAGCAAGCCAACACCAAUAGCCCCUCUUUCUCAUGCUCACUCUCUACUAUGCCCUCUUACGUACUCAAGAAAACUCUAACCCAUAUCCAAACCCUCGCCGUCGAAGAAAACCCAAUCCUUAAUGGCUUGAAAUUAAAGCCUCCACCGUCAAUCACCAUCGAACCAAAUAAACUCUAGCCUUACCAUCACUCUUCGUUUGACUCGCUGAAGAAAGCACUCUAUUAGGUGAGUCUCUGUUGUUUGAUAAUAUAUCUGCACUCUUUGUUGGCCGAAGCUUUUAGACAAUUGCUUUGAUUCAAUUGCUUCGAUUGGUUAGUUCUCUGUGAUUAAUUAGUUAGUUACUUUUAAUUUCAUAUUUUCAUCUCUAACAGUGAAUUUGGGAGUCGAUUUCUCUGUCGGAUUUGUAAUUUUUGCUACAGAUCAAAAACAUCUUGAAGGUGUUUUCAUAUCUAACAACUUGAACUAUCAUUUAUUUUGUCUUGUUAAUGUUCAAUUUUUUUUUCUUUUUUUAUUAGUAUGACAAUUAGUCGAAUGUGCUUGCACAUAAAACAAUCUUUUAACUUGGCGUUGGAAUAUUUGUUUUGAGUUGUGUCCCCUUAAUCAAUGACCAUACAAAAGUUCCCCAUGAUAAAGUGUUUAGCCCUAUUAAUGCCAUAAAGUCUUGCUCUCAAUUUUUCUGAUUAUGCCUAUGGAUUGAUUACCUAUUUCAUUUACAAAUUCAAUUGGCAAAUGUACAAUGCCUGCAUGACACUCACAUUUGGGUUAUGAUGGUAGUCAUUAUGAGGAAGAAUGUUAGAAUAACAUCAGGGGAAACAUCUGGGAGAAGGUAUGUACUGUCAAGCUCUUUGUUAGAAUCAUCACGAAAUUUAUAUUGGAUCUUGGCUGUUCUAUGUGAUGCAUUUUGGAUUUGCUCUUACUAGACAUGCAAAAACCUGUAAAAUGUAUUUUUUUUUUCCAUUUUAGAUUUACUAUCUAGUAUCUUGUAGGUUUAAUCUAAAAUAGAAACCAUUGAGGAUACUGGACACAAUUCUAAUGAAGAGAAAAGAUGUUAGACUUUAGUAUUCAACCUUUUUUUUUUAGCCAUAUUUCUAGACCCCAAGUUUAUGUCAUGAUAAUUGUGUGAUUGAUAAGAUAUUUUGGUUUUGGACUUUAUCUCAUGGAUUUAGAGUUCGAUUAUAUUUGGAAGUGGAAUAAUGCAUUCAUUUACAUAUGAUGUUUGAUGAAGUUCCCAUAAAAUUAAUUCAAUUAUAUAUGUUUAUGGUUCUAAGGAAGCGGGGCAAAAAUUUUAUCAGUGGGUUGAUUUCACUAGUUUAAGUUAGUAAAGCAAAGAAAUUGUCUUUAUGCACUUUAACUUUCCUCCAUUUAAGGUGAAAAAAUUAUUGAAGCUUUUAGAAGUGAAUUGUUCAUUUUGUUUGUGCACUUAUGCAGAUGGAUUUACUUUUGGCUGCUUAACCCUUCCUCACUUAUAUUUUUUCAGUUUAAAUUGCAGUGUUUUGCUGCUGUGCAACAGCACAAGAGGCUGUUUUAUUGUUGUUUCUGUAAAAACACAGCACCAGGAAGCGUCCAGGUAAUGUUUCGCUGCUGUUAUGCAGUAAAAACAACACCUGAAAGUUUCUAGGUGCUAUUUUUACUGCUGUUUACGCAGAAACACAGCACCUAAAAGUGUCUCUAGGUUCUGUUUAGCUGCUAUUAUGCAGCAAAAACAGCACCUGGAAACUUCCAAGUGCUGUUUUUAUUGCAUUUUAUGCAGAAACAAAGCACCUAGAAGCAUUCAAGGGUUGCUUUACUGUUGUUUUGUAUUUAAAAUUGCUGUUAGAAAUUUUGGGUGCUAUUUCUCUGAAAUUUUGCUAUUAACAGUGCAGCUUAAUAAUUUCAUAUGUCGUUUUGAACCUUCUUCAGUUCUUUUCUCUUAUGUCUAUACUUAAUCUUUUCCCCCCUGGUAAUAAGCAGGUACAAUUUUUGCAAGGUAAUAUCUAAGCAUGCUGUUAAUUCUUUGGUUGAGACGUAGUAUUCUAAACUUCAGGCCUUAAUUUUUUUAUUUCCAAGUGUAUAAUGGGUAGGUACUGGAUCUCUUAUGGAUGAUGUAGUUAAUGCUUUUUUAUUGUCUCUAUUUUGGCAAAUGUGUUGUCAUUUAUUAUCUGAACACAUGGUUGAUUAACUUACUUGAGGUAAGUCUAUUAAUUAAUAGUGAUAUGAUACUUUAAAGUCUUGUUUUACAACUUAAGUCACUAAAAUGAUUUAAUAUUUAUGAUUUAUAAUAUAUGAAUAUAUCUUAAUUUCUCUUUAUUCUUUGUAAGAAUGAUGUAGAUUGCUGAAGCUGGUGAGAUUCAUUUGCAAUUGAAGACUUGAUGAGAAAUUAGAUGUACUCACACAUGCCAAUCUUGUUGGUUGCUAGUGCAUUCACUAGUAGAAGUUUAAUGAUUGUUGGAGAUUUUUGUAGAGCUAUCUCUUUGUAAAUGAAACAUUUGCAUCAUUUUGAAUAUGAAACAUUUGUGAAAAAUAAUUGUAAAGAAUUUAAUAUGAAAUUAGAAUUAAAAUAGGGGCUUGAAAUAGCCUUAAAUUUGCCAAAUUUAUUUUUUUAAUAAUAAAUAACAAAGAUGACGGUUAUUUCAAAAGAACCGUCAUCAAAUGUAGUGUUCUAUAACAAAUAUGACGGUUUUCUUCUAAAACCGUCAUUAAAUGUUGUUUCAAUAUUUAAUGACGGUUCUUACAAUAAACCGUCAUUAAAAUGACACAUUUAAUGACGAUUAUUUAGAUAAACCGUCAUUAAAGAUAGAUAUUUAAUGACGGUUCUUACAAUAAACCGUCAUUAAAAUGACACAUUUAAUGACGGUUAUUUAAAUAACCGUAAUUAAAAAUAUACAUUUAAUGACGGUUAGUGAACCGUCAUAAAAAACAUACCCUCUUUAAUGUCGGUGCCUAAGAUGACGGUUUUAAAACCGUCAUCUUAUGUCGUUUAAAACCGUCAUAAAAGACCAAUUUUGUAGUAGUGAGUCUAUUAGGUUGGCAAAUCUACUGAAACAAUAUUGUUUCCUAUCAACUCCGAAAUACAACCAAUUGAACAACGUUCAGAAAUCGAAAAUCAUUUAUUACCAGUAAGAUUUAUUAUUAUACGCUAUACAUAUGGCUUUAACAGUCACAUUACCAAUACAUUUUUAAUCAUGGUAGGUAGGUGCUGGAAUGUAUACAAUAUUAUCAGCCUGGAAGAAAUGGCAGACAUGGGAGCUCCCUGGCUCGAUCCCAAGCACACGAAACGAUGCAUGAUCUCGACUCCAAUGAGACGUAUCCAUGUGGCAAACUGCUACAGCUUCCACUCUAUCUCCAUUAUCACCACCUAAUGAAACACCGAAUAACUUGUUCUCAGUCAUUUGGCUGUGGCAGUAGAAGAUUGCAUAAGGGUAAGGCAUGAUAUGACAUGCCACCAUCUUGGGAGCAACCAUUGGUUUAGGCACUUGUAAAAUAGUGUAAUUUUGGAAAAUGGUAGCUGAUUUUGUGAGAAAUUUUGUGCUUAGAACUUCGAAUUUGGUCUCCAAUCCGAAAGUUCCGUGUACAAAAUCAAGCAUGGAUUCCAAAGAGGUAGCACAAAUUUUGGUUUCUCCUUCGAUGGGAGGAACUUCGCAAUGAUUCAGGGUCCCUUCCAUGGCUUUGGCUAGGGGUGAGUCAUCUGAGAACGAGAAGAAUUGAAGAAGGUAAGGCAGUUGUUUCAAUGAAAAUGGAAUGGAAUCUGCUUCUUCUCUAGGCAAAGCCUGAGGAUAAGCUGAAGGAUCUCUCUUGCGAAAAAUAAAUCGGCAUCGUUUCGCCAAUCUUUAGAUCCUUCAAGGUGAAGAACACCAUCGUUGAAGGGUCCAUGUGAUUCAUGUGGGAUGGUAUUGAAUGAGAAUCAUGAAGAUUCUCCGAAAGCACCUGAGCACACUGUAAAACAGUUGAGCAAUUCAAUAUGACAACAUAGAUGAAAAAUCAACAACACAAGUUCUAUAAAGUGUAAAACUGAAGGAGCAAAAUAUAUCUUUUUGAGUUAUUGCUUUAAGACAACACUUAUGUACAUCUAUUGCAAAGUAAGCACUUCCUUAGCACACAUUGAGGAUUAUUACCAGAAAGAGUAGAGAAAGAAGGAGGUUCCAAACUGAAAAUCUUAACCCCAUCUCUUUUCUAUUAUCGAAGUUUCUUAUGUAUUUUAGUAAUCUUUUUGUUUUUUUUUUUAAGGGAGAGGAAACACAGAUAACAAGUGAAGCAGAAAGAGAAGAGAUUGUGUAACUGUAUAUGUCAACAACCAAAUGAUGUGUGUUAAUUUUCAAGUGGAAAUUUAUAGCCUGCAUAAGCUGAACUUGUUCUACUGUGCUGAUUAAUUGAAUCACAACACAGUUUGAAUAAUGACCUUAAUAGUCCAAUCCAGCAAAGAAUUCAGCACUCCAAUCAUAUGGGGACACACGUAUUGUACCUUCAUCAUGUCUGCGGAUUUUAAUAGUUUUGACUGAGUGAAGGAUUACUUCAAUUGAUAACAUUGCAUAUUAGAUUACCAGACCUAAAAUUGAUUUCUUAUUAAAAAAUUUACUUGCAAUUUGGAAACUCUCUUUGACACAUUAAUUACAGACUCGAAAUCUGUAUCAAUAUUCCCCAUACAUAGACGGAACUGAGCAGAAAAAGUGGGAAGGCAGAUCGUAAACAAAUUCGACAUGGUAGUUUCCAAGGAUGAAUAGCAUUUUUUUCAUUCGAAAAUGGGAUAAUAUAUCCUUCAGUCACGUAAUGUACACUAUAUAAGGUGGCGUUUGGUUGGGAGGAGAGAACAAAGGAGAGGAAAGUAAUUUAAAUUUUCUUUUUAUUUUCAUUGUUUGGUUUGACAAAAUAUAUAAGAAUUUAAUUUCCAUUAGAAUUUAAUAUCCAUCAUAAUUUGAAUUACACACCAAGUAGUGAAGAAUUUAAAUUCCUUGUAUGUUAGAAACUAAAGUUUCCAAAAUUACUCUUCAACUUGUUUAAUGUCAUUAAUAAUUAUUAUUUAAUAUUAUAAAUGGAUCACCGCCGGAAAGUCGUCGGACUACCGCCGGAAAGUCACUGGAAAGUUACCGGGCCACCCCGGGAUGUUGCCGGAAAGUCACUAGACCACUACCGAACGUUGACGGACGUCGCCGAACGUCGCCGGAAUCCUGCCGAACGUUGCCAUAAGGUAGUUUCCAAGGAUGAAUAGCAUUUUUUUCAUUCGAAAAUGGGAUAAUUUAUCCUUCAGUCACGUAAUGUACACUAAAUCUCUUCUCAACCUAGUGUGCGUCGGAUAUGUGAGUGUCGGGGCUCCAGUCUCCCGUACAAUCUUUAAAAAUUUUUUUGGUCAAAUUAACAGGCUGCACUCACUGUAUUUCCAUGGAUCACACUACUUCAACUAAAAGAUAAGAUAAUAAGUAUAUUUAGGAUUUUACGGAAUGAUUUUUAAGUAGUUUUUAUUAAUUAAUUAUUCAAAUUCGAAUUAAAAAAAGACUAAAAAAUUCAUCAGAAUUUUUCUCACUCCCAAUCUUUCAAAAUAUAACAAAUAAUAAGUCAUAUAAAAAAUGUUUUAAACGCAAUUUUCACUUCAAACAUAUUUCAUUUGAAGUUUAAUUAUAUUCUCCGGUGGAACCUGGAUAAGUUGAAACAAAAUUUUAUUAAUAAAAAAAAAUGUACAUCUAAUUGUCUUACGAUGGGUCAAGAACAAAAGGUUAAAGGAUAAUAUACGUGGACAUGAUAAUGCAGAAACCGAGAAUCAAAAGGGCACGAGUUUCAAAUGCUAGACAAAUGAAAGAGACGUGUGAUUGCAGGUCGAUUUUCUUCUCAUCACUAGCCACUAGCACACAUCCCCUUAAUCAAAAUCUUUUUCAAUAUUGUUUAUUAUAUAAAUGGAUAUUGGUAGUGGUUGAACUUCUAUUAUUUAAUUAUGUUGUCAUUUUCCAUCACUACAACAACAGAUGAUUCAUGUAGGAUCGGUCAAUAAUUGUCGCCCAAUGUUUUUGUCUUUUUCAUAAUUUAGUUAUUUUUGUUCAUAUGUCUGACGAAGAAGUUUUAAUUUUGCAAGAGGAAUUCAAGUUGAUAAGACCUUGUCGACUUGUCUUCUGCUGAAGAAUCUUGAAUAAUCAUGCCAAAUUCAAAAAGUGGCAAAAGCAAAAGGCUAACUUCUUAAUGAAUUCAAUAUUAUUAUGAAUUUGGUGCUAGCUCAAUCUUGAAAAUGAUCCAAAAAUUAAAAAGUAAACAUAUAAUAAUCACAUCUACAAAUGUACAUUAUUAGUGAGUCAUUGAUGAUAUAUCACGAAUUCAUUAGCUGAUUAAUUAAAGAUACCACGAAAAUAUUAUAUCAUUAGCUGGUCUAAAAAAGUAGUCAAUAAGAAAAUGAAAGGUAAAUUCAUAAAUUUCAGCCGGAAAUUUUUUUUUAAAAAAAAAGGGACCAAUAAUUGUAGGAAAUGGCUAGCUUCUUAUCCUCUUCACAAAAGAUUAAAUCCUCUUGAAAAGGUUUGUUACUGAAAUACAUAUUAUAUUACACCAACACUCUCUAUUACCAUAUGAAUUUAGAUCUUCCCCUAACUUAAUAUUUUAUAUAAUGUUGUAGGAAUAAUCUUCAUCACCAGAGAUUAGGAUCUUCUCCUAACUUAAUAUCUCAUAAGUGUUGUAUGAGAUUAUUUAGCACAUGUCAUUAUAUUUUUCUAAAGCUAAGAUUUAAUUUACUUUAUACUUUCCUUAUUAAACAUUAAAACCAAUAAUUUUCUAGGCUAAGUAAAACCCUGAAAUUCAAGUGUGCCGCUUUCUAGCUAACCAAACUGCUGCUUCUUUCUCUACCGGGUUUUUUUUUUUUUUUUUUUUUGCCACAAACUUUAAACUUAGGUAUAUAUAAACUUGAGCAAAGAAGCAUUAUUGGCAAUUAAUUCUUGUAAGAAUUGUUUAUGUAAUGGAAUCAGACUAGAACAGAAUGCAUUAUUGUUCGAUAUACGUAGUCUACAAUAACAAUUGAAGACACCUGAAGAUAAUAUCAAUUAUAGACAAUUUUUAUUGCAAUAUAUUCAAUGCAUUGUUGCUAUCGCGUGUCUGUAAUUAAUUUUACAUAAAUUAAGCUGAUAUAUCUCAUUUCAGUGUACUAAUAAUUAAGUUGAACGUUGAUGCAGCUACUGCUAUUUCCAGGAACACAGCUUUUCUAGGAGCCAGUAGUCGUAAUGUGAGAGGGGAGAUUAAUUAUGGCAGUAGCUAUCUAAAGUAAAAUUUUGGAGAUAUUGAAUUCGUUGAAGCAGAAGCAAUGACAUUUGAGAUCGAAAUAUGCAAACGGCACGGGUCUAUUUCCAUUAAUUAUUGAAUCAGAUAUUCAGAAUGUUGUCAAUCUUGCUGCAUCACUUGAAAGUACUAGAAAAUAGAUUCUUUGAGUGAUCUCUGAUAUUUAAUUGUUGGCUAGACAACUGGCAAUUUCAAAUUUGUAUUCAUUCCUAGAAUAUGUAACGUGGAAGUUCAUAGAUUAGCUAAACUUGCAGUUAGCUAUCAGAAAGCCGUAUUGUUUGGAUUGAGAAUAUUCCUAUAGAUGUAAAAUCUUAUCAUUUUUAAAGAAUUUUUUACUUUGAAAGUAAAAUAAUUAAGGGCCAUCUCUAUCGUUGUUAGGGAUGGCAAAAUCCUCCACGGGUUUGGGGCCCCAUGGAGCCCCACCCCAAAUGGGGAAAAUUUUGAAUAAUUUUUGGGGAAUGGGGUGUGGAGUGGGGAGAAAAUAAUCCCCAAAUUCUUAAUGGGGUGGGUUUUGGUUUUGUACUCCCCACCUCAAUCCCCAUUAUAUAUAAAUAUGUUUUUAAUUCUUAUUUAAUAAUUUUUAUUUUAUCAAUUAUAAUGUCAAUUAAUAAUUUUUUUUUUAAUUUUUAUGCAAUAUAAACAAGAUAUGAAUGAAAGAAAAUCCUAUAAUAUUUUUCAACUCUGAAACAUUGUUAUAUUUUUUUUUCUCUUUUAAGGUGCUACGCUCUUUAAAUAUUUUUCACUUUUAAUAUCAUUUUAAGAUAUUGUUUCAAACUUUUAGAUAUUUUUUUAAAAGAAUUUAAAUACUUUAUAAUAUGAUGAUGAUUUUAUUUUAAAUCUCUAAUUUUUAACUUACUAAAAUAAUAUAUUUAUACAUAUUAUAAAAUAAAUAAAUGGGGAAUGGGGUGGGGAUGGAUAAAUCAUUCCCCACAUGGGGAUUCUCCAUCCCCACUCCACUAAAAUUAUUAGGGAAUGAGGUGGGGAAUGGAGACAAAAAUUUCUAACAGGGUGAGGAAUGUGGUAGGCCUCCCCACCCCCACCCCACCCCAUUGCCAUCCUUAAUCGUUGCGAAUUGCAAUUCUCAUAGACUAUGCGGUCCACAUUAUGAGUUUUAAAUUCUUGCAUGAUUAAUCACCCACAUGAGCAUGCUCCACCAACCUGCCACAUCAUGUUACCACUUCUUCCAAUCUGUGUAUAUAUACACGCACACACACCAGUAUGGCCUCCAUGCAAAUUACAAACGCAGUAUCUAAUAUUGUUUGUCACUGGCCAGAAACAUGAAUAUUAAAGCCUUCUUUGUUCUCUCCACAGUGCUCUCAUUGCUUCUCUUGGUAUGUAUCAUUUGAUCAGUAAUAAUGUUAGGUUAAUCACAAAUUCAUUACAUAAAAUAUUUUGUACAAAAUUGAUAACACAAAUGUACAGUAUCGAUGUGAUGAGAACACCACACAGCCCGAUCAUUAUUUUGUAUUUCUAUUCAACCAAUACUAUUUUAUCACAUCAGCUUUAAGAGUAGCUUAAUUAUAGCUAGCUCUAGCAUUACUCGUUUUGAUUCAAAUGAUUUUCGAAUUUUUAUCAUUCGCAUGGUCAAUAUAUAGUUCCUCUUUCUUUUGUUUUUCCCCCUCUUAAUUGUUUUCCUUGUGUGCAGUUUGCCAACAUGAUAGAUGCGAGAAAAGACCUGAGAGAUUAUUGGAGAACUGUCGUGAAAAAUCAAGACAUGCCUGGGGAAUCAACUCAAGGUCUCAUUCCUGAAGAUCAAGCCUCGACCGUCUCUAAAACCACUGCCUAUUGCCAUACACAUGAAGAUUCUGAGCACACCAUGGAGAAGCCUUUUGUCAAUAAGAACUUUGAGCUGAUGCCUGAUGUUUCAAUCUAUGACAACGGCGUUAAGCUGACGAAACAAAAGGCUUUUGUCAAGGACCUCGAGCUAAUGCCUGAUGUUUCAAUUUAUGACAACGGUAUUAAACCAAAGGAUAAGCAGAGAUCCUUCGCCAAGAACUUCGAGCUCAUGCCUGAUGUUUCAAUUUACGACAACGGUAUUAAGCCAACCAAACAAAAGGCUUUUGCCAAGCACUUCGAGUUCUUGCCUGAUGUUUCAAUUUACGACAACGGUAUUAAGCCAACCAAACAAAAGUUCUUCGCCAAGGACUUCGAGCUCAUGCCUGAUGUUUCUAUUUAUGACAAUGGUGUAAAGCUAGCCAAACAAAGGUUCUCCGCCAAGGACUUCGAACUCAUACCUGAUAUUUCAAUUUAUAACAAUGGUGUAGAGCUAGCCAAACAGAAGGCAUUCGCCAAAGGCUUCGAGCUCAUGCCUGAUGUUUCAAUUUAUGACAAUGAUAUUAAACCAUCGAAGAAGAGUUCAUAUGCCAAGGACUUUGAGCUGAAGGCUGAUAUUUCAAUUCAUGAACCGACCGAACAAAA